This 50865-nucleotide long non-coding RNA is filed under the name Oryza sativa (Asian cultivated rice). Its description in RNAcentral is "long non-coding RNA (OSAT_LNC001765)". The stretch from base 23431 to 23604 matches the Rfam family "MIR812 microRNA precursor family". Lineage: Eukaryota; Viridiplantae; Streptophyta; Magnoliopsida; Poales; Poaceae. The record is from RNAcentral.
AUUUAAACUUUGCACCGAACUAAACAUAGCCUAAUACUAGUCAGUUUCGUCCUGGACUUUGUCGAGCUGUGUUGUUCAAUGUUCACCGCCAAAGUCCCCAACUCCAACCUGCCCCAAUCUCAUUUGAAUGGAUCAUCUAGCAAGUUUUCCAAGCAACGAUCUUUUUAAGAACAUUACUAUUUAAAAAACUUUCUAUUGUUCAACUGUGUUUAGAUUGUAAAGUUUUGGCGUAUCACAUUGUAUACGGAGACACAUUUAAAGUAUUAAACAUAUUCUAAUAACAAAACAAACUACUAUAAAGCCUAAUUAAUUCGUCAUUAGCAACGAAUUUAUUAAGCCUAAUUAAUCCAUCAUUAGCAAAUGUUUACUGUAACACCAUAUUAUCAAAUCAUUGCGCAAUUAGGUUUAAAAGAUUUGUCGCGCAAUUUACACGCAAUCUGUGUAAUUCAUUAUUUUUUCAUUUAUAUUUAAUACUUCAUAUUGUAUGUACCUAAAUAUUUGAUAUGGCAGGGUGUAAAAUUUUAUCGGGAGAUCUAAACAGGGCAUGAUUCAUUUGUACACUUAAAUAAUAAAUACUUAGCACAAGAAGAACACACCUAACAGCUCGUGCGAGGCCGUAGGCUUAUACAGUACAGUUUGGAGUUCGUUGGUUGCCGAGAUUAUCUGGCAAGCAGAUCGGGCGAGGCGGCUGGUCGGCCGGCGAUCUCUCUCCGGAUCCCGGCGAAGCGGCCAUUGACCAGACCACCGCGUUGAGAGAGUUGAGAGAGAGAGAGUGGCGUGGCGGGUUGGGCUUUCGCGUGGAUCAUCGAACGGACGGGGCGGUGCGUGCGACCACCACGCAACCACGUACGUAGCCCGUAGCCGGCCGCCCUCCCGUCGACGUCGUCGUCUACUCGUCUCCACACCCAUCGUUUUGUUUAUUCGUGAAAUAAGUUAAAAGACAUAUAUUUAUAAAUAAAAAGUACUUUAUGAAAAAAGAUUAUAUACAUGUUCUUAUUUAUUUAAAAGUAAAGACUGAAAAAUGAUCUUCGAUAAAAAAAAUCUUAAAUCAAUUUUAAAUUUAAGAUUAAAAUUUUAAAAUUUAGUUAAUAAGUAUAAAUAUAAGCGUAAAUAUGAGUUCCGCUACGUCUAUGUGGCGGUGGUGGUGGUCACGUUUUUUUAUGAGAAAAGAGGCAGGCGAGUAGUACACUGCGCCCACCCUGUGUCGUACGCGCGGCGUCGCUGUCGCCGGCGACUAGUCGCGUGGUCCGAGGGGCGGACGAGACGGGAUCAACGGAGUUGAGACGAGGCGGGAGCGGGAUGCGAAGCUUCCCAGAAGUCCCCGCCUCGUGGCGCACGAGCGACGCACGAUGGAGGUGAUGAGAGCGAGACAAGAAAGGAAGAGGAGGCUGCUUUGUUAGUUUGUUUUGCUUGGCCUGGCUUUGGCCGUCCUUGUUCUUGUUUGUUGUUUCGAUGAGCAGCUUGCUGGCAUGUCUUCGUUACUGUCGCCUGCUGCCGCUUCUUGUUUCGUCCACUUCAGAGCAAGUUUUAAUACGUAGUAGUAUAACUAACUAAUAACUCUAAAUUAUUUAUAGUCAAUUUUAAUAGAUAACUCAUAUAUACAAUAGUUAUAUAUAAAUAUAUAUUACACUAUUAAUACCCGGUCUCACUUAUCAUACAUGUAUUGCGUCUUGGAAUCCAUACUGCAAUUGGGUACAAAUAUAUAGCCCGCUGCUCUUCUCUCUCCUAUUUUAUCUCCUUGACAUGUGUUUAUAAUAUGUUAUUGUACCCAGGGUUUAACUUAACGUUUUGGAGGAGGUUAUCGCCACCCAUGGUAAGGUGGUAACCGCCAAAAACCGUGUGAAUUUCGUCUUCAAAAAUUUGGCGGUUUCGCGGUUACCACACGUUUUGACGUGGUAACCGUGAUAUUUGCAGAAAACAUGAAAAAAUGAAAAGGAACUAAAAAAAAGAAAAAUCACUUAAAUGUGUGUAGAAAUUGAGGAAGAAUAUAUAGGACAUUUGCAAACCUAGUUUGUGGAUGUAAAAUACAAAAAUGAAGCCCAAUAUAUUUUUUCUUUUUCUAUUUCCUAAACAAUUAUUGGUUUUGCCCUCAAAUUUGAUUCUAUCUUACUCUUUUUUCAAAAAAAAUUCUUCACCGUCUACCAUUAAGAAUCACGAACUACAUCCAUGAUUUUUUUUCUGAAAAUUUGAAUUUACUCAAAAUUUCUUAAACCCUAAUCCCCGGUAACCGAUCCCCUCCCCUGCGUAAGUGCGAUAACCGCAAUUACUGCAUGAUAACUUGAACCCUGAUUGUACAUGCUCUCACAGUGUUCGUUUCGUCUGCUUCGGGGUUUAUGCCUUGGCUUUACCCUCUCAUAUUGAUUUGGCUAAAGCACAUAUGUGAUGGAGCAGUUUUUACAACAUAACUAAAUAGAAAGAUGAACAUUUAUAACAAAAUAACUUAUGGAUGGAAUGUCAAACUUCAUGUGGCUUAUACGAUGGUUUUUUAUUUUUCCCAAUAAAAAAUAGUAUGGUAUUUUUGGACUCUGGGAUUUUUAACGAAUCACAUCUAGAAGUUUAUAUCAAUAUAGCAAAAGAAAAAAAAUAAUCCUAUAAUCUAGGGAACUAUAACUGAAAAAAAGAGGAAAUAACAUAAAAGCCACCGCACCAUAUGACAACAACGCCUCAAACCGCAAAGCGUGGGAAAAUGUUCUUACUUUUAACGGUGAAUAUAAAAAUUGACAAAAAAAAACAUACUGUAGUUUUGAUUAAAAUUCAAGAUCGGCUUAAGAAUUCUAAAUCAACAGCUCAAGAAACACAUGAGCAUGUUUGGGACUUAGGUCUUUUUGGUUGCUAACCAUAACUUGUUUACUGUUUGUCACUCCUAAGAUUAGCUACAGUUAUGAUAAAAUUUUCUUGCACAAAUUAAGUUCUACCAUCAAUGACUCGGAAAAGUGCGAUAAUAUUAUCUUAAGUUUACUAAAGUGUGGUAAAUAUUUUCGAGCAUAUAGCCUUAAUCAAGUUUACUAACUUCUGUUAGCAAAUGGUGAUAACAUGUGGAUGAGAACUAAACAGACCCUUAACUCUUUAGAGGAAUCGAUGGGUUUAGAGCAGAAAAUGAUGAAUAAGUCAUUUCGACCCUUAAACUCUUUACUUUAUUUAAAACUUAUUAAACUCCAAAACCACACAUUUCAUCCCAUUUCAUUAACCCCUCCCAAACAGUAUUUUACCAGCUGGUUUCCAGCUAAUUCUGAUGUGCCAAACUGGCAAUCCUGUCAACAUAGAAACUAUAAAUAGCUGCAAUAACCUUAAUAAAAUUAAGGUCCCUUGAUCCGGUACACCGGAUCCUGAAUCACCAGUGAAAAUAGUUGCAGAAUAAGUAACAAAAGUACUCCCUCCAUCCUAUUUUAAAACGUAGCUGUGAGUUUUGUGUCUAACGUUUGAUCAUCCAUCUUAUUUAAAAAUUUAUGAAAAAAAAUUAAAUCACGCAUUAUCUAAUAGCAACAAAAAAUAUUAAUCAUAAAAAAAUUUAAAUAAAAUGAAUAGUUAAAUAUUGGACACGGAAACCUAUAACUACAGACGGAGGGGUACUAGUCUAAUAUACUGCGGGUAUAAAGUUUCUUUCAUAGGAACAGUACUGCUAUCGUUUUAGUUUGUGAGAUGCUGCAGCGAAGGUUGGGUUGUCAACAGCUAAGCCGCGACGUUUCGUACUGGCUUUGACCAAACCCCGCACAUGGGCUUGACCAAUUAAAUUUUGUCGCAAACGAUCGGAAAAAAAAAAUUCAGUUCGUUCGUGUGUGCGUGCGAUUGUGCUCGCGUGCACUCUUCGCUUGGUCGGCCUCCUCCUGGAGUCCCCGGUUGCUGUCGCCAUUAUAUACUCCUAUCUCUCUCCUUACUUCUUCAUCUAAUCAUCUCCAAUUCCUCGAGCCUUUUUUAUUCUUCUAUUAUGCAGGCUGGAAUUGAAACGAGGGUUUCUCCAAGAGGAUAGGUUAUCCAUCACAAUUAAGUGUGGAAAUUGACUGGCUAGUGAUUGAUGUUAUCCCUCAACUAAGCGUUUUUAGUGUAUGGUACUAUGUGUUGUUUCUCUGGGCCUAGUGGGCGAGUCUUCCUCGUGUUCGUAACGGUGCUGGGAGUGAACUGCUGCGCAAGUCAGGUUAGGGAGUUGAUCACACUUCGUCGUUGCACUUUGUAUUAGAGUUAAAGUGGAUUUCACUUUUGCAUCGAAGUUGUGCCAGGGUGUGUUCUAUGCUCUCCCUUCCCAAUUAGUACUUAAUCCAUGAGUAAAGUACAUCACCAGUCUCUAAACUUAUACCGCUGUAUCAUCCCGAUUCCUAAACUCGCAAAUCAACCAUCAAGUCCUCAAACUUGUUCGACUAUGUCAUCCCGGUCCCUAAGCUUAUAGAUCACUCGUUUAGGUCCUCCAACUUGUUUAGUUGUGUCACCCCGGACCCUAAACAGGACAGUCUAAAAACUUUUGUAUCAAAAAAUAAUUCAUAACUUUUUCAUGUGAACUCUAAUGAAGACAAACUUUAUAUCAAAAUUGUAGCCCUCGACGCGACCUACAACUUUGUAGUUGAAAAUUUUUUGAAUUAAAACUGUUUAGGAUCCCAAAAUAUUGUUGCAUGUUUAUAGAUUUUGAAAUUUUAAUUUUAAAAUUACAUUUUGGGACAAAAAAAUGACUUAAAAUAAAAAAAUUUCAACUACAAAGAUGUAGAUCGCGUCGAGGGCUACAAUUUUGAUAUAAAAUUCGUUUUCAUUAGAGUUCACAUGAAAAAGUUAUGAAUUAUUUUUAAAUAUAAAGUAUUUAUAUCGUCCUAUUUGACCCAUAUGAUAUUCAAAUCCAAGUUUAGAGACCGGGGUGACACAACUGAACAAGUUGGAGGAUCUAAACGAGUGAUCUGCAAGUAUGGGGAGCGGGAUGACACAAUAGAACAAGUUUGAGGACCUGAACGGUCGAUUUGUGAGUUUAGGGACCGGGAUGACACAACGGUACAAGUUUAGGGACCGGUGAUGGACUUUACUCUUAAUCAAUUAUACAUUAAUAAUUCAUCCUUUUUUUUUACUGGGAGGAAGGGUUCCUAACCCUCAACACCACCGAACACACCCUAAAAAACUAUAGAUAUCUUUUACUCCAUAUCAUAUCCACAAAUAACGAGAAGGCUAAAAUGAGCCACUACAUUCUCCGCAAAAUAUCAUUGUAUCAUAAAAAUAGAGGUAAACGAAUAUAAAGUGCAACUCUAAUUUUAGCUAGACUUAAAAAGAAAUAAUACAAUGUUUUGCAGUUUAUAUGAUGCACUUUUUUGCAGUUACUCGGAGAAACAUCACCACGGCUGACACACACCUCUAUGGACUACGGACGUAUAGAGCGGUGAAUACGACCCCUAAUAGAUGCUCAAGAAGACGAUGACUAACGACAUAUUCUUGAUCUCACUAAAUUGUUAUUGAAUGUUCAAACUUAAAUUUAUACUGGUGCAAAAGUGAGUGUGUGUGCAAAGCCAAUUCAUCCUCCUCCUUUUGUCAUAGAGUCAAUCUGAAUCUUUAAAACUAUAAAACCAAAACUGAAAAUCAUGAAAUACAUAAGAUUACCCCCCCAAGACUUCGACUUUGACAUUUCGCUGGUUCUUCUCAGCAUCCACGCAAAACAACUACCUCCUCGUCAUCGUUAUCUAAGCUUUGAACCACUACAGCACCUAAUACCUAUAUCAUAUCAGCAAUCCGUUUUUUCCCCUCACUCGCAAAAAAAAAAGAAGUUUUUUAAAAGGAAAUAUCAGCAAUCAGUUGGAACUUGGAAGCAUACGACAGCGAUAUGGGAAACCUUUUAUCGGAUAAUCUUGCAGAAGCUUUGAAUGGUAGUAACCUGUUCUAUUUUAAAUGAAGAAGAUAAACUGUGUUCAAACUUCAAAGCUGACUUUGGAACAUUUUGCUCAGGCCUAUCUACAGGAGCGUUCACAUGAAUAUUUAUAAUACAUACAACAUGCCCAUAAAUGGAAAACAGAAUCAUUAUUUGAUAACCUUAUACCAUUAUAUAUAUAUAUAUAUAUAUAUAUAUAUAUAUAUAUAUAUAUAUAUGUCAUGUAAGGUUUUAUCUAGGACUAGUCAAAUGCAAACACAGCUCAGGUGAUCUGGUUGCAUCAUCUUUUAAUGUGCUUGCAGAUUCCCCCCUAAACUGUACCGUGCUUAGAAUUGCCACGUGCACGGGAAUGAAAUACUAGCAUAUAGUAUUACCUAAAGCCGAAGAUGAAAAUGAAUUGCUUCGAAAAGGAGGAAAGAACAAAGCAAGAAACAAGACCCACUUGUAAAAAAGACAAGACACAUAUAUAUCCUCUGGAAUUCCACUACCAAUUGCAGCAUAUUUUCAGUGGAGCCGCCCUAUGUACCUCUAGUAUAUAAAUUCCCUGAUUCGUGACACUGAAAACGACUUCCAUGAGCAACAAGCAUAUCAAAUCGAGGCUGCUCAAAUAUUUAUUUCAAUGGAGUUAGGUCAUAAUUUACAUGGUCGCAACGUCCACGGUUCAUUUGUGGAAAGUCAAUACCAUUAUUUGCGGGAAAAAAAUGAAAAAGUAGCUUGGUGCUGAUCCUCUAUAGCUAGGAAGUGGACAUCAUCAUACCAUAUCAGUUAUAUAAGUUGGCAUAUAAGAACUGAGAAGUUUACCAGUUACCACCAUAUGUUGACAUCAAUUUUGAUAGAAUCUACCCUUCUAAAAGUAAUAGAAUGGAGUAGAAAUCAUGUAGGAUUUAUUUUUGGGGGCUUUUGUUGGAGGAAUUCAGGAUUCCGUUAAACUUUGGUUCCAACUAAAUCAGCGGAAACCAAAUCAAGCACGCACUCAAGAGCCUCAUCAAGAAUUCAAGACAUGAAGAUAGAUUUGGCCCAUACGAACGCAGCAACAAAAGCAGCCAGUUUUAUCUGCUACCCUAUCACACUCUCUUAAGCACAAAACUACACUAUUCUCAGUGACCAAUACCAUCCAAGCAAUCAGAAAGAACGUCAACAAAACUUAAUGGGCCAGCCAAUAAGCUUAACAUUCAACCUAAGGAUUUUCCUCUUUGGGCUAUAAAAUUUCAACGGCCCACUAAUCCUCACCCAAUGGGCUUUUGGACUCCGUUUAAACCGACAAGUUCCAAGCUAAUAUGGCAUGGCAUUCUGGGUUUCUUUCAGGGCAUUGAUCAUCGGGAAAAUAUGCGGUGGAAACCACGUAUACAAUGGAAACCUAGAAACUACCGCUUGAUCGAAAAAUAGACGUUCGAGAUUCGUCCACGUCAUCACGAGUAAAAAAUUUACUCACGGAUUUAUUACUCAUAGUGACGUGAACAAAUCUCGGACGUCCAUUUUUUUAUCCAAUGGUAGUUUUCAUUACAAUGUGGUUUCCACCAUAUAUUUUUUCCUUGACCAUCAGGUGCAUUUUCCAGUACCAUGAUAAGACGAUGUAAUGUAAUGUUUGCGAUUAUAUUCUAAAAUCCAUAAGUCACUGAUAACCACAUAUAUGCCCAUAAAAAUAUAAUAUUAUGAUAUCUACUGGAUAUGACAAGCAAGAACCAAUAUGAGUUUUUACAUGUCAAAAUCAUGCAUACUCCAUCCGUCCCAAAAAAAAAGACAACCUCUCCUAGCACAACGAGGCAGUAACAAGCAAAUCCACUUUUCGAGAAACCAAAAUAGACCGCAUACUCCCUGACAGUAAUUAUUACACACUAAUAACCGGUAAAACCCUUGCUCCUGCAGACAAUUUUUUUUUUGCUGGGUCGGCCGAAGGAGGCCGACCAAUUUCAUUAAGAUUUGUGAAGAAAAGAGCAAAUACAAAGUUGAUUUACAUCGGCUAAGAGAGCCGAGCAUGAAAAAGCCAAGGGCUUAUCCCCAGGAAGGAAGAAGAGGGCAGAGUGACCAAAAAAAUAAGAAGUCGACUACUCGCUAAUUUCUGCAACUCCUGCAGGCAAAUAUUUAUUUAUUUAUUUGAAAACUUUUCUAAUAACACUCUUAAAACUAACUCAUCUACACUUUUUUAUCUUUUGGCAUGCCACUGUGGCCAUUACCGCACCAUCAUCAUCGUCAGUGGUACGGAUUGCUAUGCUUCGUCAACCAUAGUGGCAUCACAACUGUCCCUUAAAAUUGCGGUGUCCUUUUUACUAUUUUAUUUUAUUUUUUGAUAAAAAGGAUUUUGAAAAUAUCUUUUUUCUUCUUGUGCAAGGGAAGACGAACACGGUCAACAUUCAAUAAGGACGCGAGGCUGCAACUGGACACCAAACAACGGUGACGACAUCACACGCGCGGGCAUAGUUAUAUACGUGACGAAGCACGAACAGAACAAAACUGCCCGUCAAAGCAGGUACUGCUAAGCAUUCAUGGAUUGCUCAUUGUUGCUUCUUGAAUAACCCCACUGGCCUACUAGCAAGCUCAAAUUAAAAUUAAGUAUCUUAAUCAGUAAGAUAUAACCCAACCUGCACCUUUGCCACCUCAUGUGGUUUUAUUCAAAAGGAGAACGGAAAAUAAGCCCAAAGAUACCAAGGCACUCUUAUCGUCCCAGCAAAUUCUACCGUACGAUUAUAUGUUCGCUCAUCGCUCGCCGUAGAACCGUGAAGGUAAACCAGCAGCACUAAUCUUUUUUUUUUUUUUUGCGGGGAAAAGGGAGAUAUAUUACUCAUCCGCACCCAAAACGUGCGGGAUAAAGUUACAAUUAUCAUCCGGCCAAAAGGCAGUUAAGGACUCACAUCUACCUUUAUUUGCUAAGACAUGACAGUCUCUGCUUUGACCACGACUAACUUUUUUUAUGACAAUCUCCCUAUUUCCUUUAAGAAGGAGCUUAACUUCCCUGAUCAGGAAUGCCAAAUCGGACAUGGCCUUCUCAUCAGAGUGAAUCAAUUGCACCAUCUCCAAGCAGUCCGUUUCCACAAUGAUGGGCAGCAGCGUCCAUUGUAGCGCCAUGCUGAUCCCUUCCCUACAAUCUACCAUCUCAGCUUCCAGAGCACUUGCCGGUCUGUGCAAAACACCACAAGCCGCAAAAAUUAGGUUCCCAGAGCUGUCCCUGAGAACAGCGCCAGUUCCUCCCUUCCCAUCACUAGGGUAAUAUGAGCCAUCAACAUUUAGCUUCAUCCAGCCUUCCUGUGGUCUUAUCCAAGAGCUGGAUUCUGCACUUGGCUUGCAUUGUCUUGGCAAAGGCAUUGACGACCCAUAUUGAACCACAUGUUUCCCUUUAAUCAAAUUGGCAUUCGGGUGUUGUCGAAUCUCCAACAGUGAUGCCAUAUAACUGAUGAUAAAACGUUGGGAAACCUCCACCGGAAUUGCUGCCUUUCCAUGAGUAAUCCCAUUACGUACAUACCAAAUUCGCCACAGCAGCAUCAUGAGCCCCAUGCGCUCCUCCUUUGAAACUCUCCCUGAAAUGUCAAGGAUCCAGUCAGAAUCUUUCCAGUUGCUGUCCGGUUUGCAGGAGAUGGCAUUGGUGUUUCCCAUGGCUUCCCACAGGUACUUCGCAUGCGGACAACGACACAGAGCGUGAGCAACAUCCUCUUCCUCUGUUCCACAGAUGGUACACAAGGAGUUUUGCUCUAGAUUCCUUUUCUUCUUAUUCACCAUAGUUGCCAGACUGUUAGUGACAGCUCUCCACAUAAACACCUUGACUUUUGGGGGCACAUUACAGUUCCAAAGCUGGUUCCAAGCUUUACCAAGCUCAUUUCCUGAUGAGCUUGAACUAUUAUCAGCACUAAUCUACCAGCUACGUCACGCAGCAAGAUCAAACUGAACAUGGAAAAGUCUUGCAUGCUAUUGAUGUGCGCUAGUCUAGAAGCAGCAAAGUAGAAUUGAUGUGCACUGCCAUUAGCUGAAGACUUGCGUACCUUGGAAAUCGCACGCGGUGAUAGAUACAUGCCACCUUAGUCAGGCAGGUCUUCCUUAAUUUUCAAGAAUUCACACACUUGACACUUGCCACCAUCCUACACAAACAAGUCACCGGUGAAUAAAUGACCUGGAAGGCUGGAUCAGUAAAAAAUCUGGGAGAGAACUGUACAUGUAUCAGUUGCCUGUAGCAAACAUUACUGCACCUGUAGCAGUUGCAUCUACUGUAGCACGUUGUCUUCGAAUGGAUGAGCAAGAUUAGCUCAAAACUACCAAGCCGUGCUUCUCUGACUUGCUUCAGAGAAUCGAAAUCCCUUUCUUUGAAAGGAUCCUGCACGAGAAAGAAGCGAGUGGUCAAGUCCACGUUGCAGUUCAACAUGAAAGGGAGUUAAAACUUAACAGAACCAGCUUGCAGAAAGAUGCUUCUCAUCUUUGCCUACGAUAGCUGCUCAAGUUAGCGCCCAACAAUAUUGAAGUCAUACUUUUGGCAACAACUUGGGCCGUUAUACACUGUUCAAAGCUUCUGACUAAUCAAAUGGCCAAAAGGUCGUUCAUGCGAACGUGACUUGCUCGUGCUGAAGGCAAAACUUUCCUAAUUGUACUUCACACUAGUAGCCAAGUGAGGUUUAAGGUAGGUGAUCCUCUUUUUAAUGGCCGUUUGUGAAAAUCAAUUUGCACAACUAGGUUUGUUAUUAGUGCAUGAUUAAUUGAGUGUUGACUAUUACAAACUUAAAAAAUAGAUCUUAUUAUUAUUAUUUGAAAAAAACUUCUAUAUAAAAUUUUUUAAGUGACAGCAGAUAUCCCAGCAAAAUAGUUCGAUCAUCCUUGUGCAAAAAGGACUGGUAGCCUGGAAGGAUUGAGUGACAUCUAAAAUCUCGCAUUCCUUGCAUCUAUCCCUACUUGAUGAUUAAGUCUGCAGACAGAGUAUUUUUCCUGAGAUAAGUGAUGAUUUCUGCAGGCCAACUAGCAAAGCGACAUAUAUCCUGAAUUCCUGAUAAACUCUUAACCGUUGAAAUGGCAUGGAGAUGAGGUUUCUUUCCACAUUCAUGAAGCAAGCAGACGAUAAGUUGGAACUGAACUGAAACGAAAUGCUUAUGGAAAGUUUUACUGGUAUUCAGCACGAGAACUCACAAGUCACAGGUGACAGGACGCGCUUCUGAAGAAAAGUCACCGUGCCUUUCUCCCUUUAGCCACCUUCACUAGUUAAUGCAGAUCACAAGAUUCACAGCUGCAGCACAGAAGGAAGACUCCGUGAGUAAAGCAAAUGAUAACAAUAUUUGACUACACUAGCAUAAAAUGAAAAAUCCAAUUAGUUGCACUGAUUUCCCGUCUAUCCUGUGGCACCAUUCAUACUUCAGCAUCACAAUUCAUAAGACAAGAUCUCAAAGGUUGCAACUUGCAAGAAAAUAACAAGUGUCAUGCUUGGCCCCACCCAUACAUGCCUAUAUAAGCCAAGUCACGCAUGCUUAAACAACACAGAAGGUCGGCCUGAGCAAACAUUCCAUACACUGAGAAUGACCGAGCCUCUGCACACAAGCAGCAAUGGAGGCGCUGAAAGGGGUCCAAACGCUGCAUUUGAAUCGGAGAAGACGCUGCAAACAACAACAAGGUUGCAGAGAUUUGAUUCACUGCACAUGGAAGCUGGAAAGAUUCCAGGUGGCCAAAGCCAUACAGCCAAGGUUUGUUCUUCAAACAGACAAUUGAAUUCCUAUAACAGUAUACACUUUUUCAUGAACUUCAACUUAAUAAGAAUACUCCCAGAACUUCACAAAAUGGAGGAAGAAUAUUUUGAAAAGAAAUGUUCUGCAGCAACUAAUAUACUAUCUUCUUUAUCAUCUUAAGUUUUGCAUGACUAGUGUAGCAAGAAGAAGAGAUCUUCAUGUGAGCCGAAUGCAAUCUGAUUUGAGAAUAUGCUUGAUGCUGAAACACAGGUUGGAUGGGCGACCACACUACACUUGGCCUUCCAGAGCAUAGGCGUGGUUUAUGGGGACAUGGGGACUUCUCCCCUCUAUGUGUUCUCCAGCACCUUUACCAACGGGAUCAAGGACACCAAUGACAUCCUUGGUGUUAUGUCUCUGAUUAUCUACACUGUGGUUCUCCUCCCAUUAAUAAAAUACUGCUUCAUUGUUUUAAGAGCAAAUGACAAUGGCGAUGGUGAGUGAACAUCUUUCAUUCAUCUUCAGAACACAUGUAUAUGGCCACAGAGAAGUCCUUCGAACAACUAAAGAAUUAUGCUUUUAUUGCAAGCAGAGUUUCUGCAAGAUAAAAACUCAAAAGCAACUUUACCAAGAAAAGAAUGAUCAAUGGGGCAAACAUAAAGAAAUAUAAAAAAACACUCCAACCACAGUGUUUAAAUGAAUUCCCUGAAUAGAAUUAUGGCUUAGAAACCAUAUGCAUGCAACGAUUUAUUUCAUCAUAAUUUCACAUUUCUUAUCAAUUUUUAAUCUUGCAGGUGGAACAUUUGCACUUUAUUCCUUGAUAUCUCGGUAUGCUAGGAUUAGCUUGAUACCCAAUCAGCAGGCAGAAGAUGCAAUGGUCUCACACUACAAGUUAGAGUCCCCCUCAAAUCGCGUCAAGCGGGCUCAUUGGAUUAAGGAAAAGAUGGAAAACAGUCCAAAUUUUAAGAUCAUACUUUUCCUAGUAACAAUUCUGGCAACAUCUAUGGUGAUUGGUGACGGCGUACUAACUCCAUGUAUUUCAGGUGAGUUUUCUUUCACUUUCUGGACUCAUUGCUGAUGAUUAAAUGGCUAUAAUGUAAAGUUGCAUGGAAGGGAUGAUUGAAGCAGACAUGGGUUAUUAAAAACACGAUAUCUCCCUUCUGAACUGCAUGAACACAUGCUGAAGUGUUUCAAAGUAACUCAUGCAUUUUUUUUCUUUUUGGUAAUAUUAUAGUGCUUAGCGCUGUUGGGGGGAUCAAGGAAUCAGCAAAGUCCCUGACUCAAGGUAAACCAAUCAUUAUGUGCUUCUCACUGUAUUUCAGAGAGAGACUUGAAAAGCCAAGUACUGCUCAGGAUGUAUUUGAUUUGACCUUUUUGGCCCUAUCAACAGGACAAAUUGCUGGCAUCGCAAUUGCUAUUCUGAUUGUCCUCUUCCUUGUUCAGCGUUUUGGCACGGACAAAGUUGGUUACUCAUUUGGCCCUAUAAUCUUGACAUGGUUUAUCUUUAUUGCUGGUACUGGAGUUUAUAAUCUGUUCAAACAUGAUACUGGUGUUCUAAAAGCAUUCAAUCCCAAAUACAUUGUGGACUAUUUUGAAAGAAAUGGGAAGCAAGGCUGGAUUUCCCUUGGAGGUGUUAUAUUAUGCAUUACAGGUACUACUACUCUCAUGAUCCCCAACAUUAUUACUUUGCAAUAAGCCUCCAAUCUCCAUGUUAUCACCACAAGAUUUUGACAGAUAAGUUUUGACACGUAUACCACAUCUUUGAUGAAACAGGGACAGAAGCAAUGUUUGCUGACCUUGGUCACUUCAAUGUGAGAGCCAUUCAGGUAAGGAAGUACUUUUCCUCUGAAUGCAUGCACACAAAAACUAAUCAACCCAAUAGCAAAACUCCUAGCCUCCUAGGGGUACUAUAAGACAGGGAUUGAGAUCCAUUUGAACUUUGUAACUGUUGUUCUUGAUUUUCAUACUACUAUACUUAAGACAUUUAAAAUAAAUAUUUUUGUUGCGCUGCAGAUUGGCUUUUCUGUAGUUCUCCUUCCUUCAGUACUACUGGCAUACAUUGGACAAGCUGCAUAUCUUCGCAUCUAUCCAGAACACGUUGCAGAUACAUUCUACAAAUCAAUUCCAGGUACAAACAAUAACUAAAGACAGCAAACAAAUGCCAUGAUUUGCACAUUUGAAAUAUUAGAACUAACAAAGAACUCAUUGGCAUUGUUAUCAGACCCAUUAUAUUGGCCAACAUUUGUGGUGGCAGUCGCAGCUGCCAUAAUUGCAAGCCAGGCUAUGAUAUCUGGUGCAUUCGCAAUCAUUGCUCAGUCCCAAAUUCUAGGUUGUUUUCCACGAGUUCGUGUGAUCCACACCUCAACGAAGUUUCAUGGGCAAGUGUACAUUCCAGAGAUCAAUUAUGUAUUGAUGGUUUUAUGUGUAGCUGUUACAGCUAUUUUCCAAACUACAGACAAGAUCGGCAAUGCAUACGGUAAGCCUCAGCUCGAGAAACAAGUAUCCCUUCCUUCUAAGUUCUAACCCAAUAUAAACAUGGAACAAGUGAUUCAAUACUUGAACUCAGAGCAUUUUUACUCUAAGAUAGAGAAUAUUCUUUCUCAAGAACCAUAUGUUUCCUGUUUGGUACAGUUUCUCUUAAUUCCACAAACCCAUCUAAAAUCAUCAAUUAUUUGAGGUAAUUUGAUGUUACUGUGUCUUAAAUAACCAAAAAGAUAUAUACUAUAAUUUCUCUAGACCUGAUAACUGCCCAAAUCUAUCAGGCAAGACUGCAAGCAAAUCGUAACAUUAACAGAAUGGUACUGCUUAAGCUGUGAACUCAGCCUAACAAAUAUUACAGUAUUUAGCAAGAAUCUAGAUUCUAAGUAAGAUUGACGGUGUCGGCAUAAGAUAUAUCAACAAAAUUCUACAGAUUAGUCCCUUUAUCCAGUGACACCAACGAUUUUAUCAAAUGUUCUUUAAAAAGCAAGGAUGGACAUGAUCUGUCAACAUGUUAUGAUAACAUUAUUAAUGUACCAGUUUUAUGAUCAGACAUCUCAUAUCAUCACUAUAUUGUGCAGGUAUUGCUGUUGUCUUUGUGAUGUUUAUAACAACACUACUAGUCACUCUAGUGAUGGUCAUGAUAUGGAAGACAAGUCUUUUGUGGAUUGCACUCUUUCCAGUAAUAUUUGGUGGUGCAGAGCUCAUAUACUUAUCUUCAGCAUUCUACAAGUUUACUCAAGGUGGAUACUUGCCACUAGUUUUUUCAGCCAUUUUGAUGUUUAUAAUGGCCACAUGGCAUUAUGUUCACGUUCAUCGGUACAAAUAUGAGCUCCGGAACAAAGUAUCAAACAAUUAUGUGGCAGAGUUGGCAGUAAAGCAAAAUCUUGCCAGGCUGCCAGGAAUAGGUUUUCUAUACUCUGAACUUGUGCAAGGCAUCCCACCCAUACUUCCUCAUUUGGUGGAAAAAGUACCUUCCAUUCAUUCAGUACUUGUGAUUAUCUCCAUAAAGUACUUACCGAUCAGCAAGAUAGAAACAAAGGAACGGUUUCUCUUCCGAUAUGUGGAGCCAAAAGAAUACAGGGUAUUCCGAUGUGUGGUGCGCUAUGGAUACAAUGAUAAAGUAGAAGAUCCAGCAGAAUUUGAGAGCUUAGUUAUUGAAAACUUGAAGCAAUUCAUCCACGAGGAAUCCCUCUACAGCCAAAGUAGUCAUUCCCUUGAAGGAGAAUCAAUAAAAGAAAUAGGAGGUGUAACGGAUCCUACCUCUGAAGUUCAAGAUGCAAUGUCAUCCAGAAACAAUUCAGACCAACACACGACGGAACCAAGAAAUGGAUGCAUGGAUGAGAUACAGUCAAUUCACAAAGAGAUGGGGAAUGGUGUAGUCCAUCUGCUGGGAGAAACUAAUGUGGUGGCAGAACCAAACGCCGAUUUCCUUAAGAAAAUAAUAGUUGAUUAUGUCUACAAUUUCAUUAGGAAGAACUUCAGGCAACCAGAGAAGAUCACAUGUGUUCCCCAUAAUAGACUGUUGCGGGUAGGAAUGACGUACGAGAUCUAGACUGAUGGUGAUGUUCUUGGAAAUCUGAGUAAGUACUCAGUAACUAAUUAUCGCAUAGAAGAUGUUGUUCUCAGUGCUGAGUGAGGAAAUGCACAAGCAAAAAAAGGAGGGGAUGAGAAAUCAGCAUUCCUAAUCCUGACCAUACCACAGAACAUGCAUGGAGAUUCGUAUGACGUUUUCUUUUGGAGAAUCAGAACUUCAAUAUGUAACAUAGAUUGUAUAGUAGUAUAGCAUAUACACUAAUACACAGGAAGAAUAACUUGUUAUUUUGAUCAAUAUGAAACGUCCCUAGAGAUUGAUAGUAAUCUAGCAUAUUUAUUGUACUGUAAGAGUGUUGGUACUUGAAAAGUUGAAAUAAUCAAAAAGGUUGAAGGACCAGCAUAUAUCAUACUUCUUCCGUUUCACAAUGUAAGUCAUUCUAGCAUUUCCCACAUUCAUAUUGAUGUUAAUGAAUGCUAUCUAGAUUAACAUCAAUAUGAAUGUGAGAACGGAGGGAGUAUUUAUCUUGUGUGCGAUUCUGAAAGGAAAGGCAACUGUGCAUGAUUGACUCCAGGUUCGGUAUCAGUAUACCAAAGCUCAAAUCGAUGCACAGGAGCAAUUCCAUGGUGCCAAUCGAACGCGAGUUCGGGACAGGUGAGGAAACUAGCAAGAAGUUGGCGCAGAGGCAUUCCAUCGAACAGUUCAGAGGCAUGUGAUGAGAGAAGCAAAAUCCACGGGACAUCGAGAGAUCGUACCUAUGCAUUCCGCCCAGGAACCCCAAUCCACAUGCUCCAGCAUCCCAUCUCCGCUACGACUUGCCAAGCCACCAAUCCGCGUCUCCAUUCCUGCGAUUCCGACAUAAUUUCCAGCGAGAUCAAACAAGGAGGAGGAGGAGGAGGAGGAGGAGAUCGACGAACGGGCGCGGCGAGAAGAGCGUAUACCACCGAUUCGCGGCGAAGGUCGCGCCGUCCAGGAGCCGCCAGGGAAUCGGAGGGGUCGCCGCCGGCGCGGCAAGCCUCCGCCGCCGCGCGCACCGCCGUUGCUGGCCUCCGCCGCGAGAACAAAUGGCGAAACCGAUGCUGAGUUGGGCCGGAACGGCAUUCCAGGCUGCGUGCGGGGAAUGGGCCGGAACGGGAUCUCGAGUUACUACGUGCGGCCCAUAUUGGUUGGGGGCGAACAGGAUUCUGACUUGUGGCCCAUAAUAAUUGGGCCGGAAGGGGAUUUCGAUUACUUGCGGCCCAAUAACGGGAUUGGCUGAGCCGGGAUGGCCCAAGAAUGGGAAUGUGUUGGGUUGGAAAGGAACAGGAUUCUACCUUGUGGGGCUUGAUACGAAUGAAUUUUAGAAUAAGUCUAUUUUACCUCUCUCAUCGCUUACUCAUGAUUGAAUUGUGUUCCUCAACCGUAAAACCAGGUGUAACGCAUCCCUCAUCUUUGAAAACUGAUGCAAAUAGACUCCUUCGACGGUUUGGGAAACGGUAUUUUGCUAAUGUGGUAGAUUGACUGUGGUUGACUCGCUGUCAGCGACUCCUCUCUUCCCCCUCCUCUCUCUCUCUCUCUCUCUCUCUCUCCCUCUCUCUCCUCUCUUUUCCAUCUCUGUUUUAUUUUGGAGCACACACAAACUUCGACUCGCAAGACGCACAUUGCCGAUUCGAUUUCAGAAUUCACAAGCUGUUUUGAUCUUUCUGCAAUCUGCUUAAAUAGACGGAGGCUAACGAUAGGUCUCUAAUCUCACGAAAUUUCAGUUAAAAACGCACUCUAUGUAAACGUAACCAUGAGGAUCAGGACUUCAAACUACACCACUGCACCUCAUGUGGCUCAACAAAUCAUCACGCCGGUAUGAUUGAAGUAUCUUUCAACACAAGACUACACGAGUAACGUGCAUGAACACUGAAUAUAAUAGUUUGGGGUUGUGAGCUUAAAAAUGAUUGCUUCAGUCAGGAAAAACCCUGGCUUUGUAAGGGAAUAUAAAAGAAAGAUUAUGGCAGGAAACAGCAAAGGUUUCCCAGAAGGAAACAUGUACAGCUACUCGGAGCAACACCAAUUGGAAUCAAGCUGGAAUUGAUCAUUUCGAUCAACUGAACCGACAGCGUCUGUUUGCGGCAAGCAAGUCAGAUUCCACAACUAGCUUACAACUCCAUCGUUUGCUUUUCAGCUUAUCAGCUGCAGCUAAGAUUUAAAUUACAGUAAUCUUAUAGUUGCUUUUCGGUAUUAUGACUGCUAAGAUUAUAGGCAAAACGAUGUGGCUGUCAAUCUGCUCGGAAGGCAUAGACUUAAUUUUCAGCAGAUCGACAAAUCAUAGCUGCUCGAUCGCAUGCUCCACACAUCUGAUGAUGAUCAACAAGGGAUUAAGCAGGCAAGCAGCUGACAAAAUGCUAAACGAAUGACUCGAGAGUUUGUUUUUCCGCGUGGAAUUAAUUAGGUCACACGAUGCUAAUGUUCUUAUCAUGCAAGAAGUAUGUAGAUAAGCUGGUACAUACAGCUGGCCAGGUUGUUCAUAUAUGUUAUUGUUAGAGCUAAGCUGUUCAUCAUUGCCCAGCUAUUGUAAUACUAGGAGCAAGGUCAAUAGUAUAGCCAGCAGUUGGUUCCAAUUACAUCCAUGUCAUUUUACAGUUAAUAAUAGAGCCAACCUAUACAAUAGAAUGGCUAUACUAUGCUAAUUACAGUUUCAUAAUCCGGGAAUUAAUUAAGCAUGCACAUACUUGCGUAUGAUCAAGAGUGAACUCAGUCUCUGUAGGUAGUUGUAUUGUCGCCUGAAAAUAAGUACCAGUGCCACGCCAUGGCGUGAAUCUGGCGCAUGGGAUCGGAAGGGCUGAAGUGGUGGUGAUGAGGCCCACAAUACGUGUUUUUAAUCCGCGAGAUCGACUGCACGCGAGCUCUGCAGAUAUGUCGCUCUCUUUAUUCUCUCUCCUUCGUUUUCUCUUCUCCACGUAAGAAUAGCAUGACGUGGAAAUUUUUGCAGCCUGCUGUGUCAGCUUAUUGUACCACCUCUAAGUAGUACUGAUCAUGCUGCUGUCCAACAAACAAACGACAGUACUGUGCUGUCAGGUGGCCCCAAUAAUCCACUGCUUUCGCUAAAGUGCAAAGCAGAAAAUCCAUUAGCUAAUCUAAUAAGUAAUAAAGCUAAAAACAGUAUGAAUAAUUGGAUACAUCAAGGCAUACCGCCAAAAAAAGCCAAUCAAACUGAGUAGUACCUGCAGCUGCAUGCAUGUUUCUGAUUUCUGAACAUGUUCAGUAUCAUUCAGAAAAUGGAUAUGCUAUCAUCUGCGUUCAGAGAUAAUGCUACCUGCUACAUAGUUGGGACUUGGGAGUUAAUUAAAUAGUAUCAUUAAUUCGUCGUUUAAAUAAAUUGUUCUGCACCGACGAUGCACAUCGAUUGGUUAAUUAUCAUGCAUGCAUAGUCUUGUUGCUGGCAAUAGGUUGAUCACUGUAUUCGCUACCCACCAACCAAACACACGGAUACAAUGAGAUGGAGCCAUCAAGAAUCAGACAGAUAUUCGUUUAUCUACCGUUUAUACUAAUUAGUCCAUUAAGUUGGCGUCUUUAGCUUGAUGCUUUUAAUUAUCUGCAUUUUUGCCACCCAAAAGGGAGCAAGAACUUGUUGUCUCUUCUUCUAUUAUCCCCAUAAUUUGUCAGAUAUAUAGAUGAGUGUACAACCCUAUGCAGAGCAGUAUUCGAUUGAUUUCAAGAAGAAGAAUAUAUAUAUUAAUUACUGCACAUUACAUAUAUUAAUUAGACGAGAGAGAUGACAUAAUAUUUUUCAUUACAAAUUACAAAUAAGCUCAAAAUACACAAAGAUUUGCACAAGAUUUACAUCUGUCCCUGCAGCAACCAAAACCAUGGGGACUCCCUUCAGAUCUUCGCAUUACGUACGCACCAUGUAAUUCAAGCUCCGUAUACAUGACUCGUAUGUGUACAUGAUCGAUGGCGCCAUGGCGGCGAGGCGAUGGGCCACCGCGUGAUCGAGCUCGCGCGCGGCCUCGCCGGCGUUCGUGCUCUGGGCGCGCGUGGCGCGACGCGGCGCGGCGCGGCGUGGACGGGACGAACGUUCGACCGAUCACGGGGCGGAUUCCGUCAUGUAGGGGAGCAGCGCGACGUGGUUCUGGCGGCGCAGCUGCUCGUAGAAGCGCCUGAUGAACUCCUCCGCCUCGUCGUCCACGGCCUCGCCGCCGCCGCCGCCGUCGGCGUGGCCGUAGUCGCCGUCCUCCUCCUCCUCCGACGAGUAGUUGGAGACCCGCACGGAGUAGCCGCCGGUGGUGCCCAGCAGCGGCGAGAGCCCCGGCGUGCUGCACUCGUCCCCCGGUGCGAGCAGCUCAUCCCGCACCAUGAACCCCGGCGAGGACGGCGCCGGGGAGGACGCCGCCGCCGCGGCGUAUCCAUAGUACUCGAUCCUCUGCAACGCCGCUGCCGCCGUCGCGCUCGCGCCGGCGUCGACGACGUCGUCCUCCGCGCUGAGGCAAGGGAAGUAGGCGAGCCGCCGCCUCGACGCCGCACCUCCAUGCACGACGUCGGGGCUGUUGCUGCACGAGAACUCGUACUCCCGCCGCCGGCGCAGCGCGCCGCCGCCGCCGCCGCCGUGGUGGUGGGAGAGGAGGCUGGCCACCGAGCGCGCGACGGCGCGGUUCCGGCGCUUGAGCCGCAUGGCGAGCUGCAUGCCGAGCAGCAGCCUCCGCUUGGAGAUCACCCCUUUCCUCACCAUGAAGAACACCGCCCGCAGGUAUCCCCACAUCCUCCUCGCCGCCGACUCCACCUCCAUUGCCAAGAAAAGCUUCCCAAGAAUCAAGAUCAAAUCAGGAUGCUGUUUUUUUCCGCGAACGCGCAAAAAGAAUUACACGUUAAUAUAUUAGAAGAUAAGAGUUAUAGUUACACAACGCAAUCAGCCAGGCCGGCUUAUGUCAGGGGAAGGGGAAGGGAGAAAAACAAAUCAGGAUGUUGUUGCAUGGAUCGAUCGAAUGAUCAUUCGAUGGAUUGCAAGAAAUGGCAUUUGCAUUGGGUUGAUUGGUGGUGAGGUGGUGUAUAUAUACUCCGUAUAUAGGAGUAGGGAUUUAAACGAUGAAUAGAGCACGCAAGGGGGAGAGGGCAAAAGCUGUCAGAAAAAAUGAAAUUUUUUUCUUAACCAGGAAGGCAGCAGAAGGAGGGGGAGCGUGGACAUUUUGGCGAUGCCUUUUCCGGUAGGUGGCGCCUCCGCUUCAAACUCCUUGUUGCCUUUAAUCAGCAAAAGCAUGCAAAGGAAUUCGUCAAGUUGUUUGAAUUCUGCAAAGCAAAUAUUCGAAUUAGUGCUCAGUUUGGAUAGACAAUGGACUAAUAAUGUAAGUACUCCCUCCAUUUUAUAUUAUAAGUCGUUUGACUUUUUUUCCUAGUCAAACUUAAUUAAGUUUGAUCAAGUUUAUAGUAAAAUUUAGCAGUAUCUAAUAAAUCAAAUUAGUUUUAUUAAAUCUAAUAUUUAGUAUAUUUCAAUAAUAUGUUUAUUUUGUGUUAAAAAUACUACUAUAUUUUUCUAUAAACUUAGUCAAACUCAGACAAGUUUGACUAGAAAAAAAGUCAAACAACUUAUCAUAUGAAACGGAGGGGUAUAUAUUUAGGCCUCUUAUAGGUUGAGCUACGACUGAUAAGCCAUAGGAAAAAGAAAAAACAAAGCAAAAAAAAAUAUUUAUGGGUAAGUUUAUAUAUCUAUUGUUAGCAGUUUAAAAGUUAUGGCUAGAAAAUAGACUUCCAGAAAAAUUUGGUUCUUGCCAGGUAAAAUUCGAAUUUUUGUUACAGCUGAUAAGCUAACAAACAGAUAAGAGUUGUAAUUACUGCAUGGGCAAUUUUUUCUAUGUAGAGUACUGUUUAUCAGUUAUUAGCAGAAAAUUCAUUAGUGGUCACUGGUCACUUAGUCAGUACAGGAUGUAACAUAUAUAUACAGAUUCGUAAUAUUAAAAUAUGUCACACCUUAUUAUAGAUUCGUUUUUUAUGGAUGGGGGAGUACUCGGAAGUGAACUGUGACUGAAUUGGUAGGUUUUCAAAAUUCAGAUAAGCAAAUCGCUCCUUUUCUCGACGGCAACACAGUAGCUAGUAAGACCAUGGCAAUAGCAGCAAUGUUGUCCACGGCAGCCACGUGUCGCCGGUGUCUUCUUUCCUUAACCCCGGAUCAGCCUCAAAAGCGGUAGCCAUGAGCCAUCACCUCGCAUUCUCAUCACACAUUUCGCCUCAGAACGUUGCCACAUGAUCAUCAGCGGCGUCACUUUCAGAGACCACAGGAAAAAGCAGAAGAGCAUAUUAUAUCGAAAGGAAAAAUAAUGCGAAGAAACGAUCAGAAUCAGUGGACGAUUGAUUGAUUUCUAAUUUCUUCUCACGACAUUGAGCAGAGCCACCAAUUCAGGGGAUGCUCACACUCGUGACCUUGACUUGGAACCAAAGCUAGGAUCUUUUUUACUUCUUAGCCGCUUAGUAGUAGCUAGGAAUCAGGAUUAAAUUAAGGUAAAUUGUCUUACUCUGAUAGUCUGAACUAGUGUGUUACAGCUUAAUAACACAAAGUUUGAAGGAAAAACAGGCAGCAGCUUGGGCUGUCCCACUGCAAAAGUCGGUCCAGUUAGCUUCGUGGAUCGAUCGAAGUAUGUGAUACUUCACCUGUUCUAUGCGAACGGGAGAAGAAUUUCUGCAGCUGUCUGCUUGAUCAGUACUGUACAAGGCGUCAAGGCUCAAGAAUGGAAUUUUUUUUUCUCUGUACUACUACCAUGCUGUGAACGAGUAACCCUGUUUCUACGUAGCAUUAGCAUCUGCAUUUCAGCAUACAUGUUUUAUCUGAAUACUAUCAGUGCUGAGUUGCAUCUGAAAUUCUGAAGGUGCUCCAUUUGAUUUCUUACAGCUUUCAGACAGUAGCACAGCUGUUAUUACUGAUGAGAGUUUCAGGCUCUGCUUGAAUGUUCAGUUUCCACGGAUUGUCGAUCGUGUGCUUAUCCGAGCUUGACACCUAUAGAUUAGCAUGAACAAACCAUCAAUCAUAACGCCACUUCUCUGCAAACUGCUCGAUCUCAUCUUCAAUCUGUCCUGCAAAGCGAACAAAAAGGGUUCAGAGAAUUAUCUGAAAUAAAGUUCAGAAAAGUGCAGUGCCGAAAGAACAUCGCACAACACAAGCAAACAUUAUUACCAGGGCUAUUGUGCUUGCCUUUUGCUCCCCUUUUCAACAUCUACUUUUUUUUUUUCUGUUAGUGCCUAACAUGAAUAUAAUGGUGGAUUCAUGGUUUUGGGUUGAUUAAUCUGUUGUGCUAAGAAUGCACAACUCUGUCUUGUCUAACAACCGAUAAUAUAAUAGGAGUGUAGCUGCUUUGUCAAUCUGCUUAAUCCUCUUUUUGUGCAAGUUGUACACUCGAUCUUUUCUCUGAACUGAUCUGUCGAGAAAAGCUAUAGCACUUGUUCCUUUACUAGCACUAGUUCAUUACCACUCACUUCUUCCACUAAGAAGGCAGGUUGUUUGCAUCAUCUCCUUCAUCUCCAUGUAUAUAAUUUGUAAGAUCAAGACUCAAAAUGGAUGUAUUCUCAAAAAAAGACUCAAAAUGGACACUGGUUCAGCGAAUGUCGCUUCAAAGUUGAAAUAGUGAAUCCUUUAGGCCCUUGUCUAGAUGGGCUGAAAUCGCAACCAAUAUGCAGUACAUAAAAGGGCCACAAUCUAGUUCAAUGCAUGUACAUUGGCCCAUCCAAUUAUCCAAACUAGUCUAAAAAAAUCUUGCUGGUGGUAGUCACCCCACCUAUUCUAGUUGUAGUUUUUACAUAUUACCUCUUAAAUUUCAUAAUAUUACAUAACAACUAGUUAUAAAUGGAUAACCACACAUAAAAUUAAAUUGAUAUGAGUAUUCCUUUUAGAAAAAGGUGGGUAAUAUAUUAUCAAAAAAUAAGCUCUUUUAGCAUUUAUUUUAGGUAAUAUUAUAAUAGUAUAUUUUUUUUCCUUUUAUCCGUAGAGCAUUUAGCUACUCCCUCCAUCCCAUUUUAAACACAACCAUGAGUUUCUGUGUCCGUCUUAUUUACCGUCUUAUUUAAAUUUUAUUAUGAUUAGUAUUUUUAUUGUUAUUAGAUGAUAAAAAAUAAAUAGUACUUUAUGAAAAAAAUUAAACAAGACGGACGAUCUAAAUUGGACAUGAAAACUUUUGGUUACGCUUAAAAUGGGAUGAGCAGUUCCUAAAAAAGCCUACAUCCAUGUCUGGCAGUAAGGAUAAGCCCAACUGUCCUACAAUACAGCGCCUACGACUGUCCGAGAAAAUAGCGUAUUACUUUUUAGAAUAAUCUGUUAAAUCUGCCAAAUUUUUUUCAAUUGCGCUAUUUCAUCCAAAAAAUACAAAUAUGCCACUUUUGUUGCUAAAUUUGACUAGUGAUGUCGAAUCAAUAUGUCUGGAUUAUACAUUUCUAUACAACUUUAAAAUGAUGGUGACUUGGUGAGUCAUUAAUCUAUCACCACCCCCGCCACCAACAAUCUUUUGAAAUGAAGAAAUAAUACAUGAGACUAGAGCGCCUACAUGUCAACCACCCUCGCUACCAAUGAUAAGAAAAAAUAAUAGUGGUAAGAGGAUCCACAUAUCAAUAAAAAAUAAUAUAGAGACUAAGAGAUGAUGUAUCCAAAAAAUAAUGCGAAAAACAUGUAAUCUAGUGGUUGCAUUGGUUACAGUAAUAUGAGUAGCACAUAAGGUUCUGAGUUCAAAUAUUUAUAUGAGCGAAUUCCAGAUUAGGUUGUUUGAGAAGUUAAAUUCCCAAUUAAAAUAUUGUAUAUAUCCGGUUGGAUGUAAAGACCAGAUAAAGGUUGUUUGAGAGGCUAAAUUUACAAUUAAAAGGUUACAUAUAUCCGGUUGAAUGUAGAUGCCAGGUAAAGAAUGUCCAUGAUAGCUGUCAAACUCGUUCAUUUUUUAUGUGUAUAUUAAGAAAUUUUUUCAGGUUUUAAUUUUUUUUAGAGAUCAAACUUGCUAAUUCCAUUAACAAAAACACCGACGAUAGCGGUAAAUUUACAAGGUAAACACCAACGGUAGCGGUAAAUAUGCCACACUAUAUCAUUUCGGCAAUUAGGACCAGAUCCGACACGGAUCCCAAUCAUAUGCAGUACUGAAUAUAUAGAGAGGGGCUAUUUGAACAGUAAUAACAAGUUUAAUAGUGUUGUCGAUUGUUUACUCCAAAAAUAUUUCACAUAAGCAAAACGGCAUAAAAAAACUGAUAAGUACAAUAGCUGGCUGCUAGUGCUAUCUCUGCACAAGUACAGAGACUAAACGAGCUACACCAUCAUUCAGCUUGUCGCCGUCCCAUUGGUCAACACCACUCAGGCCCCCCGAGCCAGUUUUGGACCCCUUAACUUGCGUUGGGGUUUACGCUGCAGCCGGCGAUAAAUCAAGCGUCCGCUUUUCUCUUUCAUUGCAUUCUCUCUUUCAACUCAACAUAAAUAUAUUUUUGUAACUCUUAUAGCCUGCUGAAAUAAGACUAUUGUACCUGCUAAUUUGAGUUUACGCGAACAGUGGUGUUCGUCAGUACUGGUGAAACAGUGCUGGAUUUACCGUUUUGAAAUGCUGUAGCGAUUUACCUUAGCCAUCGUUGUUCUAGCAUCCGAUCUAGUCCGUCCAUUUUAAAUCAACGGUUGAUAGGAGGGGCUAAUGCCCACAACUAUAGGCUUUGCAAUUCUGCAUUGGCACAGUCUAAUAUUUAACUCCCAAAAAUUCUAAAUUGGGACUAUCAAAAUAAAAAUUGGGCUCAUCAACCAGUUAAUUCCCUCCUCCAAGAGAAACCCAACAAUUAAAUUCCAGUAAUUUGUUGGUUUGCCACAUAAGCAUGGGACCACUUGGAAGUUGAUCGGCCUCGAGAUGCGCUCGUAGCGCAGUGGCAGGGAUCGCUGGCAUGCACCCCCGUCGGUCCGGAUUCGACCCUUGUCGAGCACGCUCACUAGAAAAAAUAUUUACCUCAUCCUUCUUAAAACUAUUGUCCAUUGACACCAAGUCAUUUAUUUGUGUCCAACCUUUUUAGUUGAUCGGCCUCUUCCCCCCUCCAUGUACGCACACCCGAUCCUCCUCUCCCCUGCCUGCAGGUGGAGCCACCUCACAGUUCGUCGCGAUCGCCUCCAGCCAACCAGUGAUCGGACUGCUGUUCUUAUCUUAAUCUGUUGAAAAACGAAGCACUGAGAGUAUACCGUAGCCAUUCGUGUUAUCAAGGAGGUAAUCCCCUAGCCAAUGUCAGUGAUCCGUUGAGCCCUAGCCAAACGACAAGCUAUUGAUCAUGAACGACAGCUCUUCUGCCGCAAAAAAAAAAAAACCUGAUAACUGAUAAAUGCAUGCAGAUUUAUUCCAAUAGCAAUCAGUAGCAAUUUAGCAUCGUUUCAGCAGCAUUUCAGAACAGCUGCAGCAAUCAACAUUUUAGAACAAGUGCAGCAAUCAGCAUUCAGCAGCACCAGUACAUACACCACAGCACAUACCCACGAAAAAACAUCAGCAUAUACUUCCUGUUAAUAUUUACUCUUAUACUUCCUGCAAAUAUUUUCAGUGUAUACCCCUAUAGCAAGUACCAAAAAAAACAGCAUGCACAGAUGAUUUCAGUGUAUACCAACCGACCAAGCCAUGGUAGUGCCUGACCUCCCAAACCAGGGAGGCUGGCUGGUCCCCUCUGUCCUCUGUCGCCGCCUGAAUGUUGGAGGACGGCGGUUGAGCGGGAUGAUGGGGAGGCGCCAAGCCACAGAGACCAUGCUGUUGCCCCCGUUCCCAAUUACCUCUCAUUUUCCGCGCACGCUUUUAAAUUGCUAAAUGGUGUGUUUUUUGCAAAAUAUUUUUAUAUAAAAAUUAUUUAAAAAAUCAUAUUGAUUCAUUUUUAAAAAAAUAAUUAGCUAAUACUUAAAUAAUUACGUGCUAAGAGCAUCACCAACAGUCUAACAAUAAUCUAUCCCUAAAAUUUAAUUUUUGAGUUUCCUAAACUGAAAAUAGGUGGUGAAAAACCCCUUCUUCCAAGAGAUAGCCUAAAUUCAAUCUCAAAAACUAAAAGUGGGCCCUUCUGUUAAACUACCAACAGAAAUUCUAGUUUUUUUCCUUUCCUGUGCACAGAAGGAGAUCGCCCCGAUACGGGAAGGAGAGGAGAAACGUGGAAGGAGGGGAGAAACGCGUGGAAGAAGGGGGAUUGGGAGUCGUUCUCUCGCCCUCAAAUACACGUACCGAGAAAAUUGGAGAUGUGAACUCCAAAACGUCCAGAGCUCUUUUGGGAAUAUGUUGGACCAUUUUUUUUAACCAAAAUCCCCCCAAAAAAAAGGAUUGGGGAUGGAAUAGAUAGACUGAGCAUCACCAACAGUCUACCUAUAUGAUUUCUAAAACUAAUUUUGAGGGAUUUUAGUCCAAGAAUCAGCUCCAACAUAUCCUCUACUCUUUUACCCAAGUUUUGGAGUUCCCUUCCCCCGGUUCCUCGCUCUGUUUAUAUGCGGGCGCGAAAGUCGCUCCCAAUCACGCAAUCCCGGCUCUCUUCUUUGUUCCCGCGCGUGGGAGAUAGCGAUCUUUCUGUGCGUGAAAGAAAAAAACGGAAUUUUCUCUUGGCAGUUUAAUAUAAGGGCCCACUUUUAAGUUUCGGGGAUUGAAUUUAGGCUAUCUGUUGGAGAGAGGGGUUUUUUCACUUCCUAUUUUCAGUUUAGAAAACCAAAAACAAAAUUUUAAGAGAAAAUUAUAGAUAAUCUGUUGGUGAUGCUUUAAUGGACCGCUCCAUUUUUCGUGCGUGGGAUAUGGAUUCCAACCCAGGUUGCCGAACACAGCUGUACAGAGCGAGAAACCAGGAUUUGGGAAUCAUAACUAUUGGGCCUGAGAAUUGGGAGACUGUUGGAUUAGAUUUCUCAAAAAAAAAAAUCCCCUAAUAUUAGGAUUGGGAUUCAUUUAGCAAAUCUGUUGGGCAUGCUAGAGGAAUAAGCAACUGUUUGAUCUGUAGUUAGGCACUUUUUUUUUUUUGAGAUCGAUGUGUACUAGGCAGCAACCAUGUUUGAUUAGCCAGCACGCGAUUCUUGUGUUAAUAGUUGCUACUGUAGUGUACUAAUAUCAAUACUGUACAAUUCACUGCGUUUGGUUGGUGAUGGUGUGAGAACCCAUUAGCCUUUUUUAUCCUGGCGCGAAAGGCAAUGUAGUUUACCAGUUACAUUGACCUGGACAGUACUCUAAAGCUCUAAAUCUCUAAGUUCAAAUAUUCACAGUAGCAAAUUUUAGAUUGGGUUGUUUGAUGGAUUAAAUGGAGAAAAUUUCAAAUUGAGUUAUUUGAUGGGGGUAAAUUCUCAAUCUAAAAUGAUUUUAUAUAUCCGAUUGAAUGUAAAGAUUGUGAAAAAAAAUACCUAUCUAAGAGAAACAAAAAAAAUCAGCCUCCUUAUCCAUUGGCCCACUUUUGGACAUGGACAAGUGUUUGUAUAUGCCUGGAUGAAACUGGAAAUCAAACCACCACAACCACACGUACUCACUCGCAUGGCUGCAGCCAUUGCCGUCGUCUACCUCUCCCUACUGCUGCUGCUGCUGCAUGGCGCGGCGCCGGCAGUUCUUGGCUACACGCGAGGGGAUUUCCCGGAGGAUUUCGUCUUCGGAUCCGCCACCUCGUCGUACCAGGUAGUAGCAAGUAGCAACUCACGCAGCUUCGGUUGGAGCGAGAUCUUCUUGGCUAUCAGCUGGUUCCUGUUUUCAUUUGAGAAUUUCUACUGGGCUCUAUGAAAAUUCUGAUUGUUUUGGGUGGUGAAAUUUUUGUCUGUCUGGUAGUAUGAGGGUGGUUUUGAUGAGGAUGGUAGGAGCCCAAGCAACUGGGACAUCUUCACUCAUCAAGGUAAUUAACUGACAAGGCUGGGAUUCUGCCCUUGUUUUUUUUUUUUGACAAAUACUCCCUCCGUUUCUAAAUAUUUGGCACCGUUAAAUUUUUAAGCACAUGUUUGAUCGUUCGUCUUAUUCAAAAACUUUUGUGAAAUAUGUAAAACUAUAUGUAUACAUAAAAAUAUAUUUAACAAUGAUAAAAAAUAAUUAAUAAUUACUUAAAUUUUUUUAAUAAGACGAACGGUUAAAUAUGUUUAAAAAAGUCAACGGCGACAAAUAUUUAAAAACGGAUGGAGUAUAUGUUAUUGUGUGACAAAUAUCUAAAAAUGAUGUUCUUGUUUGUGAUAACAGGGAAAAUGCCGGGCAGAAGCACAGCUGAUGUCGCCGCCGACGGGUACCACAAGUACAAAGUAUAGCUCAAUUUUCUCUGGAUGUAAAUCCUCUUAUCAAUUUAUCUGCUAUAUUGUACCUGAAGAUUUGUGGCUUCUGUCUGAUCUGUCCUCAACUCAAUGUCUGGAAGGAAAAAUAUUCAGAUGUCAUGGCCAAGUACUUUGAUGUUCUGAAAUGAAAGCUCUAACCUGUUUUAAGUUGUUUUGACAUGAUUUAUUAUGAUGGUUCAGGAUGAUUUGAAGCUGAUGGUUGACACCAACCUAGAGGCUUAUAGAUUAUCCAUCUCCUGGUCGAGGAUUAUUCCAAGUAUGAGCAUUUCAGAAGAUUUUUUAUUGUUGUACUUGUAUGCAAGAAUUUUCAACAUUAUUUCUAAUUUCUUGUUUUUGAAACUAACGUUUUUCAGAUGGGAGGGGUGAUGUCAAUCCAAAAGGGCUACAAUACUACAAUGACAUCAUAGAUGGGCUAGUGAAAAAUGGUAUGCCUAUUUGCAUUAACCUAUGAAGUUUUGGUGUAUUCCCUCUCUGGUACCAUAAUUCUUAAUGUUUUGGACAAUGACAUAGUCUCCAAAUAUAUGUUUGACUAUGUUUUUUUUAUUAUAAUACUGAAAAAAAUGCCUGUGCGUUGCAAUGGGUAAAGACGUUUUUUUAGUCUUAUAUUAAGAAAUGAUCAAUAAAUUAAAAUAUUGGGAUCGCUAUGCAUUAUAAUUGAAAAAGUUAAUGAAAAUCUUUCCUGGGUUUUGAGCCGAAAGCCUUCCUUCCUUUUUUUAGCCCUAGUGCAGUCCGCUCCCUCCAUCCGUUUGGCCUGCUUCCCUUCGACCCAGCCACAAGUGGAGCUGUAAGCCCAACUUCCUCCCGAAGUCCCGUACGCGUAAGCCCAACUCUCUCCCGAAGAUAGUCCCUCCCUCCGUUUGGCCUGCUUCCCUUCGACCCAGCCACAAGUGGAGCCGUAAACCCAACUACCUCCCAAAGUCCCGUACGCGUAACCCAACUCCCUCCAGAAGAUAAUCCUGUGCCCGUACGGUUGCCGGAGCAAAUCUCCCCAUCAAAUUCGGCCGAAUCUUUCUCAAUCACCCAAAAUUGCUUGAGGGUUAUCGAUCCACUCGAUCUUCUCUUCCUGUUUUUUUCCAAUAUCAGAGUGUAAAACUCAGGAUAAAAAUGACCAGGAAAGAUUGCCGUCAUCAUCCAAUUGAGGGUUUUUGAUCCAGAUUGCCGUCAUCAUCCAAUAUUGGUUGAGGGUUUUCGAUCCACUCGAUCUCUUCUUUUUGUUUUUUUCCAAAACAUAAAACUCAGGAUAAAACAACCGAUGAAGAUCGCUGUCAUCAUCGGCAACUCUUAGAUGGAGAUUAAAUCUAACGAAUUACAGACGAAUCAAAAGAGAAAAUCAUCGAGGAAAUGAUGGGAGAGGAGUAGCGAAUUCAUUUUUACAAUAAAAUUGGAGGAGGAAACGCACUAUCAAUAUGACGGCGGCACGGCGCCAGGGUUCAACUCGGGAGACGUGCAGCUAAAACAAAUCGGAUUAAAAAACCGGAUGAAAAAACCAAAAGUGCACAGGAGGUGCGUGGUGAAUAGAUCGGAUUAAAAAAACCGGACAAGAAAAACCAAGAGCCUUAGCGCGUGCGAAAAAAACUCUUUCACGUGCAAAAAAAAAUGGAAAAAAAUACUGGUGUCAAUAAAAACCAAACGGACUUUUUUUUACUGGUGAGAACUUUUUUUUUCCUUUUAUUUGGGGGAGUCGGAUAAUUUUUUUUAUAACAUUGUUUUUUUUACGGACGGCUUUUUUUUAUCGCUUUUUGAGUCGGACUUUUUUUUACGUUUUUGCGUCGGGUUUUUUUUAUUUUUUACAGACAACGAAAUUUGCUGGUUCUUUUUGAGGAGUAGAGAUAAAGAUUAAAACUGAAACAUAAAAUUAAAACCGAUUCAAACACGGAUGACGUACCAAAAUACUGGUAACAACAUCUUCAAUUUUUAUAAUAGUAGAGAUAUAUAAUAAAUAAAUAUAUUUUUACUUUUAUUAUAGUACUUUGUAAGACAUAUAUAUUGUUCUAGUGACUUUAAACUAAAUAUUUAUAAAGCUAUUGAUAGUCAAAAUUAUAAAAGUUUGACCUUAAUCAUAUCUGAAACGUCAAGAAUUAUAGAACCGGAGGGAGUAGUGGUGAAUGGUGACAAAACACCUUUUACAAUCUAAAACUUAAAUAAUGGAAAUUCGUUUCACACAUUUUGACCUUUUUGUUGCACUGUUUUAAACCCUAUGGCAUUUUCAAUUUCUUCAGGGAUUCAAGUCCAUAUCAUGCUUUAUCAGUUGGACCUACCUCAGGUUCUGGAAGACGAGUACGAUGGAUGGUUGAGUCCGAGAAUUUUGUAAGACCCCUUAACUUUCUCUUGUGCUGAUAGUAUUGCUCUGAAGUUCAUCUUGUCCAAUUCUAGUUCGUAAACUUUGAACAUUAAUAACUAAAAUUAUAAGCAUAUUUGGCAUGUAAAACUAUAUAAAAAAAUAUACUUCAAUGCAUUUUUAUAAUAUUUUUUUGAACGACCCACACUACAAAUAUUAUAUAAUAUUGGUCUUGUAGACAUUAACAAAAUAGUUUAUGAGUACUAACCGUCAAAGUUUAUACAAUUUGACUAUUUGACUUUAUAGUACGCCUUAUAAAAACAAAUAGAGGGAGUAUAUAAACAAACUUGUUGGGCACAACAAAGUACUCAAUGAAUUAACGGCUUUACAAAAAACUAAAAGAGAUGCUCCAGGGGCCCAGCGACAGGGAAUUGAGCGAAUUGAUCAUAGGAUGUUAUAGAAAUGAUCACAAGUUACCUAGUGAUAUUUCAUAGAGAGUGGACCUGAAAUCCUAAUCUCCAGUGUCACUGCAAACGCAGGGAGGAUUUCAAAGCAUAUGCAGAUGUGUGCUUCAAGGAGUUUGGAGACAGGGUUGCACACUGGAUUACAAUUGAUGAACCUAAUGUUGCUUCAAUUGGGUCUUAUGAUUCCGGACAAUUGGCCCCUGGGCGUUGCUCUGAUCCUUUUGGAAUAAGAAAAUGUACAGUAGGGAACUCAUCUGUGGAGCCAUAUAUAGCAGUUCAUAACAUGUUACUGGCACAUGCAUCAGUCACAAAACUGUACAGAGAAAAAUACCAAGUGAGUUAUCAUGUAUUCAGAAUUAGUAGUAGCAUUGUUCAAUUGGCCAAAUCUUUAUGUGUUCAUAAAAGAGUUUUACAUAUAGGUCGCAGGAAAAGGAAUUAUCGGCAUAAGUGUUUACACAUUUUGGGCUUAUCCAUUAACAAAUUCUACUGUCGAUUUAGAAGCAACAAAAAGAUGUCAGGACUUUAUUGUCCACUGGUAUGUCAUGUUGACUCUUUAUGUUUGCAUCUGAAUAUUAAUGUGAAAAAAUAGAUGGGGCAAACAGAGUUGUGGUGCUCUUUCUAGGGUACUAAGACCCUUGGUAUUCGGUGAUUACCCACAAGUAAUGAAGAACAUUGUCGGUUCUCGCCUUCCAUCCUUCACAAAAGCCCAAUCUGAAGAUGUCAAGGGUUCUCUAGAUUUCAUUGGAAUGAAUCACUACUACUCUCUCUAUGUGAAUGAUCGUCCUUUGGGUAAGGGCACACGCGACUUUGUAGCGGAUAUAUCAAUUUACUACAGAGGUAAGAACUUUUCUGUCGAUGAAGGCAUUAUUGGCUUAUUGCUGCACUGCACUUCCCCAGUCAUAGGAGCAGGAAUUUUUGGUACAUUUGUCUAGCGGUAAUAUCUUCCUUUCAAAGAACUACUAGCAACAACACAUAAUCAAAUACUCCUACAAUCUUAUGAAAUCUACUCAUUCCGUUUCAUAUUAUAAGACUUUCUAGCAUUGCCUAUAUUCAUAUAUAUGUUAAUAAAUCUAGACAUAUAUAUGUGUUUAGAUUUAUUAACAUCGAUAUGAAUAUGAGCAAUGCUAGAAAGUCUUAUAAUAUGAAAUGGGGGGAGUAUGUAUAUAUAUGUAUUUAGAUUUAUUAACAUCUAUAUAAAUAUGAGCAAUGCUAGAAAGUCUUAUAAUAUGAAAUGGGGGGAGUAUGUAGCAUGUGCAAAAUCUAAUCAAAUCCCUCUGAUUCAGGUUCCAAGACAGAUCCACCACCUGGUAAGGUAUGGUUUCCCAUCGAUGUCUGUUAGAUAUGCUGCUGUGUUGAACUGUUUCAAACCUGAAAAAUACCAAAAUAGGAAUUUUCAUCUAAUUCAACAUAUUAAAAGCAAAUAUGCAAUACACACUUAAAAAAGAUAAUACAAUUUGGAAGGAACAAAAUUGCACCCAUUAUUCGAGCUGUGAGUUGUGACAGAUCUUAUUUUUUAUUGCGGAGCGCAGGCCGCUCCAACAUCUAUUGGACCUGACCCACAAGGAUUGAGAUUGAUGGUGCAGUACCUACAAGAAACCUAUGGGAACCUUCCCAUUUAUAUCCUCGAGAAUGGCAAGUUAUUUGUUGUGGUUCAGUUACUCCACUGAAAAUUUGCCAAUGUUUAUGCAGACUUGUACUGUUCUUUUUUACCUUACAUAUUUGGUUUCUCUUCGCCCUUCUCUUCAGGUUAUGGAUCAAGCAAUGACACUGUCCAUGACAAUGACAGGGUUGAUUACCUGAAGAGCUAUAUAGGGAGUAUCCUGACUGCACUAAGGUGAAAACAUCGCCAAAAAGAGGAAACAGAUCGGAUAAUUUUCAGGCAAAUGCUUUGCAGUUUGCUCUGAAAUUCUUCAGACAUUUUGAUCAGGAAGAACUCCUCUCUGCAGGAAUGGCGCCAACGUGAAAGGCUACUUCGUGUGGUCAUUCGUGGACGUGUUCGAGUACCUGACGGGGUACGGCCAAUCGUACGGCCUCUACCGCGUCGACUUCGCCGACGAGUCGCGGCCGCGGCAGGCGAGGCUCUCCGCUCGCUGGUACUCCGGCUUCCUCAAGAACAGGGAGAUGGAUGUUGAUCAGAGUGAGCUCGCCAUGGCAGCAGCAGAGUCACGAGCUCAGCAAUGAGUUGCAUACACCUGAUUUGGCAGUAACAUUAUAGCAAGAGUUAAAAUUCUUGAAAGACAUUGUAGCAAGAGUUAAGCAGAGAGGAAGUCACCUGGUCUGGCUCUCUGUCACACAUAUAUUUACUCAGGACUUGCUCCUGCACACGAAAUACAGAUUAUGUGGUAUAAAACAAUGUCAUCAAAUAUUAUGAGAUUUUUUUCGUAACCAUCGUUUGGUAUCUAUACUCUAUAGUACAAUUUUAAUAGAUUCCAAUGGUGGUGGUGAGUGAUGAAUUAGCCACCCACAACCACCAACUCCCUGAUAAGUGGGGUCCUUGUUGUCAGGGUGUAUGUGACUUCCAAAUUAACAUAUGAAAGUGAUGGCAAAAGCAGCUUAGAUGAUCUAUACAACUUUAAAGGAUUCCAAUGGUGGUGGUGGGUGGUAGAUUCACCACUCAUCACCACCAACUCCUUGACAAGUGGGGUCCUUGUUGCAGAGUGUAUGUGCCUUCCAAUUUUCCAUAUAUGAAAGUGAUGGCAAAAGCAACUUAGAUGAUUAGAGAAAAAUAAUAGAGAUAAUUUGUUUAGCGCUUCUAACAUGUGUAUAAUAAGAUUUUCUUUUUUAAAUUUCCAUUGCAACGCACAGACAUUCAACUAGUACUGACAAAGAGGGUACACCACGUAGGGUUUACAAAACUCAGUUUAUGAAAAUGCAGACUUUGCGGACCGGCCCAAAUACUCAAACUGCUCGGUUUUUAGGUAAGUUCAAGAAAAAUCAAACUGAAUUUUUGACAAAAUUUGACCAGAUUUUCUCUGGAAUAUGGGCCGGGCGGCCGGCGUCUGCCUGCAACCUGCACACGACGACAUACACUCUGAUGCAUCCACAAGAGACAAACGUGGACGAAAGCAUCUAUGCUUUGCACCGCUCGCCGUAUCCUCCCCGUGGCUUUCACCUGCCACCUACUCCACCUAACAAACACUACUCCCUCCGUUUCACAAUGUAAGUUAUUCUAUUUUUUUCAUUCAUAUGUUUAGAUUUAUUAAUAUCAAUAUGAAUAUGAAUAAAGUUAAAAUAAUUUACAUUGUGAAACGGAGGAAGUAACUAAUUGGAGAUUUAACAUCACCUGAAACAACGACGAAUUAAGGUGGUGUUAAAUCUCCAUUUAGUUAAUUUUUUUUUACGGAAGGAGUACACACAUAGCGUGACACUCCUACAAGUAUCCUCCAUGCGAUCAGUAGUGUAGCGACGAGGGGUGAGAGAGAUGGCAGCGUCGACGCCGGCGGCGAGCAGAGAGCGGCGGUGGAGCCUCGCCGGCAAGACGGCGCUCGUCACCGGCGGCACCAAAGGCAUCGGGUACCGUGUGCACUCGCCGCCGUCACCGUCUCCUUACACAGUAGUACUACGUGUGCACGCAUGCAUGGCGGAUUGCUGACGUCAUGCGUUACGUCGUGUUCGUGUGUUGCUUGGUUUAAUUGGCAGGCGCGCGAUCGUGGAGGAGCUCGCCGGGUUCGGGGUGAGGGUGCACACGUGUUCACGCCACGACGCCGACCUGCAGGACUGCCUCCGCCGGUGGAACGCCGCCGACGGUGGCGGCCUCGGCGGCGGCGCGGCGGCGCCCGUCACGGCGUCCGUCUGCGACGUGUCGGUGCGCGGCGACAGGGAGGCGCUGGUGGCGGCGGCGCGCGCCGCGCUCGGCGGGAGGCUGGACAUACUCGUCAACAACGUCGGCCAGACGCUGUUCGGCGCGGCCGCGGCGUGCGCGGCGGAGGACUACGCGCGCAUCAUGGCGACCAACCUCGAGUCCUGCUUCCACCUCGCCCAGCUCGCGCACCCUCUCCUCCUCGGCGCCGGCGGCGCCGCCGCGAGCGUGGUGAACAUCUCCUCCGUCGCAGGGUUCAUCGCCUACCCGGCGCUGUCCGUCUACUCGGCGACGAAGGGCGCCAUGAACCAGCUCACGCGGAGCCUCGCCGCCGAGUGGGCGCGCGACGGCAUCCGCGUCAACUGCGUCGCGCCGGGCGGCGUCCGGACCGAUAUCGCCGGCAGCAGCGGCGUGGCGCUGGAGCCGGGGGCGGCGCGGGCGAUGGAGGAGAGGGAGGCGGCGCGGGUCGUCAUGGGCCGCAUCGGCGAGCCCGAGGAGGUGGCGUCGCUCGUCGCGUUCCUCUGCAUGCCGGCGGCGCCGUACAUCACCGGGCAGGUCAUCUGCGUCGACGGUGGCCGCACCAUCACCGCCUAGGCAGCUAGGCUAAUGAAUCCAGAAUUCCUAAAACAUAUUUUGCUUUGCUCUCGUUACCGAUCAUAUAAACCAGAUAUUUGCUCCAGUCUAGCAAAAAAAUAUCUCGAAGUACCGGUACCUCACGGUACCAAAUCAUCUCUGAUCACUAGAUAUAGCUCGGUAGGAUAGGUAUCGUCAAAUCCAACAAUUAGAAAAGAUUUAGUACCGUGAGGUACCGAUACCUCAAGAUAUUUUUUAUUUGAUCGGAGCAAAUCUCUAUAAACCAUUAUCAAUCUACCGCCCUACAUAUAAUUUAGUCCCUCAAAACUUCAUUCUGAGGUCAUAUUUGUUGAUUUGUAAUGUUUCAUUAUGUCUAAACAAAUCGGAUAUAAUUUACUACCGGGCCAAUAUAAUCUUUAGAUACACCUAAUGUGCCACAUGGACAUGGGCAAGAUAAUGCCCCUUUUGAUUUGUAGAAAGAACAUAGAAAAUUUGAAGGAUUGCAGUUCUAUUUUUUUAAAAAGAAAAUCCUACGAAGGUUUUUGAAACAAAAGAUUAAAUCUUUUUUUUAAUUUUUUUAUGGAAUGAACAGCCCUAUAAAAAUAUUGGAGAAAAGUUAGUAAGAGCUCUAACCUCUUAAAAAAUUUCUUUUAAGUCUAUCUAUCAUUUGAUUUUUUUUAUCUUUCAUGUGGCCUAAUUAAAUUAAAUGACCAUUCCUAUGUUUUAUAAUAUACUAUCAAUUCCAGUAGAAUUCACAUGUUUUUUCUCCCUUUUUUUUUUCAAUCCGAUGUUUCAAAGAAGCCCUAUUCAGCAAAGUCCAAGUCUAUUAAUGAAAAAAAAUAGGUAUUAUCAUAUUAUGCAAACUAACUCUGAUUGCAACCAAGAAAAGAAAAAUGAAGGGCUAACCAACCUGGGAUUGGGGUAGAGCCAGCUGACGAGGUGUAAUCAGGAUGGCAAACAAUAUUUUCUUAUUGUUAUCAACUUGUAUUUUUAUAGUCUACAGAUCAACCUAAUAUGUCAAUUGGGCUUUGGGCAAGACCAAGCCUACUAAUGAACAACUUCCCAAUAAUCUCUUAUUGCAACCGAGAAAAUAAGGAAGGGGAUAACCAACCUAUUGGUUGAAUCAGCAAUAAAUUAGUGGAGUCAGGUGGCAAUCAAAAAUUUCUUACUGUAAACAACUUAUUAUAGGAGUUUUAAGGCCAUAUAUAUUAUUUAUAUCCAUCUAGUGUAUCAGGUUGGCAAGAUAAGUCGGUAAAGUUUAGGCCAAUAAAUAGCAUUAUACGAGCUUGGUAUCCCCAUGGUUUGAAAUUUUGAAUUGUAUCCGUUGUAUCUUUUGUUAGAUAAUGGAUAGAAACCCGACAUCUAUUUCUAUAGUUUGGAUAUACACACGGCCAAAGGAUACAUGAGUGCAUACACCCAACAUCUCGAACCGAGACACAAAGAAUAAACAAGCAAAUUUGUUGUAUCUUUUAGCAAAGUUUAAAAACAUUAACACUAUACGGAGGGGUAAAGAUGGGGUUCACCAGGAGAGGCUCCUCUAACUAACAUAACUUCCCACUGACGUGGUCAUUUAUACGUGGACCGAAGGUGUCCACAUGUCUUUUUUUUGAAACGGUCAGGUCUUACUGAUGUUUUAUAUUAAGAUGUCCACAUGUCAACCACACGUUUCUCUGACUGUACAUCAGAGAGUGUUUUGUCAAGAGGAAGACUGGAAGAGCGUAGGGGGAGGAGGAGAAAGGGAUCGUCAGUGUCUUAUUUGGAGAAAGAGGCGUGCCUUGGCUGGGCCUUGUGCGUCCAGGAGGAAGACCGAAUAUAUUUUGGUGCAUUAGAGCUCGAGCACAAGUCGCGCAUGGCGGCGGCGAGCAGAGCACGGCGGUGGAGCCUCGCCGGCAAGACGGCGCUCGUCACCGGCGGCACCAAGGGCAUCGGGUACGUACCUACGUUCUUGUAUGAGAUCAUGUGUGCAACGCGAUGUUGAUUUCGCAAGUGUUUGUUUGGUUGAUCUCGUCGUCAUCAGGCGCGCGAUCGUGGAGGAGCUCGCCGGGUUCGGGGUGAGGGUGCACACGUGUUCACGCCACGACGCCGACCUGCAGGACUGCCUCCGCCGGUGGAACGCCGCCGGCGAAGGUGGCGGCGCGGCGGCGCUCGUCACGGGGUCCGUCUGCGACGUGUCCGUGCGCGGCGACAGGGAGGCGCUGGUGGCCGCGGCGCGCGCCGCGCUCGGCGGGCGGCUCGACAUGCUCGUCAACAACGCCGGCCAGGUGGUCGUCGGCCCGGCCGCGGAGACCGCGCCGGAGGAGUACGCGCGCCUCAUGGCCACCAACCUCGAGUCCUGCUUCCACCUCGCCCAGCUCGCGCACCAUCUCCUCCGCGACGCGGCGGCGGGCGGCGGCGCCGCCGCGAGCGUGGUGAACAUCUCCUCCACCGCGGCGUUCUACGCCGCGCCGCACCUGGCGGUGUACUCGGCGACCAAGGGCGGCAUGAACCAGCUCACCCGGUGCCUCGCCGCCGAGUGGGCGCGCGACGGCGUGCGCGUCAACGCCGUCGCGCCGGGGGCCACCCGCACCGACAUCUGCGACACCAGCGGCGUGGCGCUGGGCGAGAAGACGAGGCGCAGGCUGGCGGACGCCGGCGCCAUGGACCGCGUCCCCAUCCGCCGCAUCGGCGAGCCCGAGGAGGUCGCCGCCGCCGUCGUCUUCCUCUGCAUGCCGGCCGCCUCCUACAUCACCGGCCAGGUCAUCUGCGUCGACGGCGGCCGCACACUUCUGUAGCUAGCUCGUCAGUAAUCAUCAAGAAAAAUAAUAAGAACAGCAUAUUGCCAAAUAAUUUUCCGAACGCAAUUCGGAUUCGGAUUAGGACCGAACACAAUACCGAAUAAUUUUCUCGAUAUUUUUGUUAGUAAUAAGUCUAGCUGCUCAGAGUAGUUAGUUUCCCUUUGUUUUUACGUUGAGUCUUGCACAUGAUCUGUUCAUCAUGUUUGUGUGCAUAGUGGGCUUGACGCACGCUGCGUUCGUGCGGAGUCCGUGGUGUCGUACGUGGUGUGCUCCAGUUCGUGGGAUGACGCGAAGUGGCAAGGAGUGUGGCACGCACAAUUAGGAGGCCACUAUGGCCACGUUUAACUUUCUUGUAAUUUGCUAUUUAAGGUUAAGCUCUAAUCCAGAAAAGCUGCCAGUUAAUGCAGCGCCAAAAUACUCUGUGUUGCUCUGUUUCUAUUUUGCCAGACAAGCUACAGUUUUUCGUUUUGCCGCUAACAAUUGGUAUCAGAGCCUUCGGUGAUCGCCGGGGUUCCUGAUGUCGCUACCAACGCCGCGUGUCUCCCACUCACCACCGCGUCGUCGCUGGCGCUCGCCGUCUCCGCGCCGUGGCCGUCAUGGCGGCCGCGACCAAGUCGUGGUGGAACGCGUCAUCCGCGAGGCGACCACGAGCAGCGUCGUCUACCCGACACUCACCCGCACAAAUUACCAAGACUGGGCGCUGGUAAUGCGGGUGAACAUGCAGGCCCAAGGUCUGUGGGGCGCGGUGGAGCCGGAGGGCGAUGAUCUCGUCGACUACCGGCAGGACCGGCAGGCGCUCGCCGCGAUACUUCGCGCCGUGCCCGCCGAGAUGCUCGCCACGCUUGCUGUCAAGGAGACGGCGCAGGAGGCGUGGGAAGCGAUCAAGACUCGCCGUAUCGGUGUGCAGCGCGUGCGUGAGGCGAAUGCACAGCAGCUGGCCGAGAAUUCGGUGAUAUCCUCUUCAAGGACGGUGAAACCGUCGACGACUUCUCGAUGCGGAUCGGCGGCCUCGCCAACAACCUUCGCACCUUAGGUGAUAAUAUCACUGAAGCUAAGGUCGUUCAGAAAUUGUUGCAGGUUGUCCCAGAACAUCUCCAGCAAAUAGCCAUCUCGAUUGAGACCUUGCUCGACGUCAAUGAGCUGUCUCUCGAGGAGGUUACUGGGCGUCUGCGCUCCGUCGAGCAACGCAAGCAGCGCAAGACUGCGGCGGCAUCGAGUCGGGUCGAUGCCAAUGGCCGUCUCCUCUUCACCGAGGAAGAAUGGCUGGCGAAAUUCCGCAAGGCGGCCUCUCUGCAAGACGCCGCUCACUCCUCCGGCGGCAACGGCGACCGCCGGGGUCGAGGGCGUGGGAAGAAGGACGAUGGAGCCCCGAAGGAGGCCCAGCCCAAGCCAGCCAACCCGGGAGGCCGUAACCUGGGAAAUUGCAAGAAUUGCGGCAAGAGGGGACAUUGGGCCAAAGACUGUCGCAGCAAGCCCAAGGCCCAGCAAGCUUACGUAGCCCAGGAGGAGGACGAAGAGCCUGCUCUGCUCCUGGCCAAGGUGCAGCUGGAUCCGCCGCGUCCUCGCGUCGCUGCACCGACAAACGUCGUCUCGCCACCGAGCGCGCCGAGGGCGCUGUCGCCGAUGGGCGAACUCGCCGUGGUCGAGGCCAAGGUCUUCGCGCAGCUAGACGGCGGUGGCGAACAUGAUCCGGCGAUGUGGAUCCUGGAUACUGGCGCAACCAACCAUAUGACCGGGUCCCGCUCCGCUUUCGCCGAGCUCGACACGGCGGUCACCGGCACUGUCAGGUUUGGCGACGGCUCGGUGGUUCGCAUCGAGGGCCGCGGCACCAUCCUGUUCUCCUGCAGGUUCGGGGAACACCGCGGCAUCGCCGGGGUCUACUACAUCCCGCGGCUCACGGCGAACAUCGUCAGCCUUGGACAGCUGGAUCGUUCCGGCAGCAAGGUACUGAUUCAUCACGGCGUCCUGCGCGUGUGGGAUCCUCGAGGGCACCUACUCGUCCGUGUCCGACGCUCCGACGACUGCCUCUACACCAUCAAGCUGGACAUCGACCGUCCGGUCUGCCUCGCGGCAAGGAGCGCCGAGCCGGCGUGGCGGUGGCACGCCAGGUACGACCACCUCAACUUUCCUACUCUCCGCAAGCUCGCGCAACAGGAAAUGGUUCGUGGGCUGCCGCUGCUGCAACAAGUCACUCAAGUCUGCGAUGGCUGUUUGCUCAGGAAGCAGCGGCGAGCGGCGUUCCCGACGCAGUCCAAGUACCGCGCUGACGAACACCUGGAGCUCGUCCACGGCGAUCUCUGUGGGCCGAUCGAACCUGCAACGCCGGCUGGUAAUCGGUAUUUUUUGUUGCUUGUCGAUGACAUGAGCCGCUAUAUGUGGCUAACCUUGAUCAGGAGCAAGGAUGAGUCCGCGAACGCCAUCAAGCACUUUCAGGCCCGUGCAGAGGUGGAGUCCGGGCGCAAACUCCGUGCACUGCGCACGGAUCGUGGCGGCGAAUUCACCUCAAUCGAAUUUGGGGAAUACUGCGCCAAUCUCGGAGUUGGUCGGCAGUUGACGGCGCCCUACUCCCCGCAGCAGAACGGAGUAGUGGAGCGUCGAAACCAAACCAUCAUCGCCACUGCCCGCAGCAUGAUGAAGGCGAAGGGUGUUCCUGGGCGGUUCUGGGGAGAGGCCAUGUCCACAGCGGUCUUUCUCUUGAAUCGUUCGCCGACGAAAAGCUUGGACAACCAGACGCCCUAUGAAGCAUGGUAUGGCCAACGGCCCGCUGUGCAUUUCCUGCGCACUUUCGGGUGCGUGGGGCACGUCAAGAUCACCAAGCCUGGGCUGAAGAAACUCGAUGACCGGAGUGCGCCAAUGGUGCUCCUCGGCUACGAGCAAGGCUCGAAGGCCUACCGGCUCUAUGAUCCAGUCAGCGAGCGCGUCCAUGUGUCCAGGGACGUGGUGUUUGAUGAAGACGCCGCCUGGGACUGGGGACCAGUGACACCUGAUGGUGCUCCCUAGCUCAAGCCGUUCACCGUUGAACAGGUGGUGACGACCACCAUCGGGACGGCACCUGCUUCGUCGCCGACUCCGCCCUCGCCACCAUCGCCGGCUCCGUCGGCCCCCACGACGCCGGCACCUCCGUCACCUCCGUCGCCGGAGGCGGUUGAGUUUGUCACGCCGCCUACCCAGGAUUCCAUCCUGGACGUCGACGCAGAUGACGACGUCGUGCCUCGCUACCGCCUGGUGGAUAACCUGCUGGGGAAUGCCUCACCGCCCGGACACGCUCCGCGGGUGCUGGAACAGCUCGAGCUCCAUGUUGUGAGCGCCAACGAACCUGCUUCACUGGCUGAGGCUGAGGCGGAUCCAAACUGGCGUGGCGCCAUGCAAGAUGAGCUUAACGCGAUCGUCGACAACGACACUUGGUCGCUCACUGACCUACCCCAUGGCCACCGUGCAAUUGGGCUAAAAUGGGUCUACAAGCUGAAACGUGACGAACAGGGGGCGAUCGUGCGCUACAAGGCGCGCCUCGUCGCUAAGGGGUACGUCCAGCGACAGGGGGUGGACUUCGACGAGGUCUUCGCACCUGUCGCCCGGCUGGAAUCGGUGCGCCUCCUUCUCGUCGUCGCCGUGCACCAAGGGUGGCAAGUCCACCACAUGGACGUCAAGUCGGCAUUCCUCAACGGCGAGCUGCUCGAGGAAGUUUAUGUCUCGCAGCCGCCGGGUUUCGUCGACGACAACCACAAGAACAAGGUGUAUCGCCUGCACAAAGCUCUUUACGGCUUGCGCCAGGCGCCUCGCGCGUGGAAUGCCAAAUUUGAUAGCUCCUUGCUGUCACUCGGCUUUCACCGCAGCAGCUCCGAGCAUGGUGUGUACACACGCACCAGGGGAGGAAGACGACUGACGGUGGGCGUCUACGUCGAUGACCUCAUCAUCACCGGCGAUCAUGACGACGAGAUCCGCAGCUUCAAGGGAGAGAUGAUGAAGCUCUUCAAGAUGAGUGAUUUGGGGGCACUCAGAUACUACCUCGGCAUCGAGGUUACCCAGGACAGUGAUGGGAUCACGCUGGGGCAAGCCGCAUAUGCCAGCAAGAUUCUUGAGAAGGCAGGACUCAAGGACUGCAAUCCCUGUCAGACUCCCAUGGAGGUACGUUUGAAAUUGAGAAAGGGUUCAGAUUUUCCACUUGUGGAUGCUACACUGUAUCGCAGCUUGGUUGGGAGUCUGCGCUAUCUCGUCAACACGCGACCCGACCUGGCAUUCUCUGUUGGGUAUGUCAGUCGCUUCAUGGAGUCACCCAGGGAAGACCAUCUUGCUGUCGUUCGACGCAUACUGCGCUAUGUGGUAGGCACUCGCUGCUGGGGAAUUUGAUUUGGCCCAGGUGCACGGUGCGCUUUGCCAAUGCUGGUUGGUUACUCUGAGAGUGAUCUGGCUGGCGAUCCAGAUGAGCGAAAGAGCACGUCCGGCCAGAUUUUCUUCAUCAAUGGCGGGCCUGUCACUUGGCAGUCCUCCAAGCAGAAGGUGGUGGCAUUGUCCUCCUGUGAGGCCGAGUACAUCGCCGCAGCCGCCGCAACAUGUCAAGGAGUAUGGCUCGCGCGGCUGUUAGCGGAGGUGCUGGGCGACGAGAUCGCCACACCGCUGCUGAAGGUGGACAACCAGUCCACAAUAUCAUUGAUAAAAAAUCCAGUGCAUCAUGACCGGAGUAAGCAUAUCGAUGUCAAAUAUCAUUAUAUCCGGGAGUGUGCAGAAAAGAAACUGAUCGAAAUGAUGUUCGUGGGAACUGCGGAGCAGCUCGGUGAUAUAUUCACCAAAUCUCUGGGCAGAACCAGGUUUCAGGAGCUUCGUUCAAAGAUCGGUGUCUGUUCUCUUGACAAGAGCAGUCAGACUUAAGGGGGUGAUUUGUUAGUAAUAAGUCUAGCUGCUCAGAGUAGUUAGUUUCCCUCUGUUUUUACGUUGAGUCUUGCACAUGAUCUGUUCAUCCUGUUUGUGUGCAUAGUGGGCUUGACGCACGCUGCGUUCGUGCGGAGUCCGUGGUGUCGUGCGUGGUGUGCUCCAUUUCGUGGGAUGACGCGAAGUGGCAAGGAGUGUGGCACGCACAAUUAGGAGGCCACUAUGGCCACGUUUAACUUUCUUGUAAUUUGCUAUUUAAGGUUAAGCUCUAAUCCAGAAAAGCUGCCAGUUAAUGCAGCGCCAAAAUACUCUGUGUUGCUCUGUUUCUGUUUUGCCAGACAAGCUACAGUUUUUCGUUUUGCCGCUAACAAUUUUGACUUGUCGACGAGACGCGACGCGAUCCGAUCGGCUGGCAAUGGCGGUAGACAUGAUGCAGUAUCUCACUGCCACAUACCGUCUCUACCACAUGCUGCAGCAAACUAUAUCCCGAACGAGAAGAUUUGAAUUUUGAGCAAAAUUUCGCCGAAUUUUAGCACUUUUUUUUUGCUAAAAUUCGAACGAAUUCGGAAAUUUUUUUACCAGAGGCACUUUGGAGUUAGGAGUCAGGAUUGAGACUGCACAAGAUCCCAAUUGCACUUGUGGUUUCAAAUUUUAAUCACGGCUAAAUGCACAAUUCCAUCAACGAGAAAUCUGAAGACUAGGCUAUUCAGAUUGUAGCGAAAAUAAACCUUACCAAAUUUUGACAAGUUAACAAUGUUAUCAAAAUUUUGGUAGGAUUUCUUAUGUAUUUAUCAAAGUUUGGCAACAAACUAAAUGCAACACUUCUUUUUGGUAAUUUUAAAAAAAAUAGUUCGGUUGAAAAUGACAUCAAUCCGAACAGCCCCUGUGUAAACGCUGUAGUGUAGUGUAGUGUACCAGUGCAGUGCUAGAGCUUCCAGUAGAGGCGAGCACGGUGGAGGAGGCCGGCGACAAGGGCCCAGAACAAGAUCUGCGCGAAGAGGACGUAGAGGAGGAUGCCCACACGGGUGGAAUGCCACACCUUCACGAACACAUGCUUCCUCACCCAGUAAACCUGCAAUAUCAUCAUCAUCAUCAGCAGCAGCAGCAGCAGGAUGAGCUUUAUCUGAAGAAAUCCCAAAACCAACAAAGUUCAGUUGUGCUAGAGCUUAAUUCUACCAGUGUGUUGUUGGUGCCCUCGUAGUACCACCCGUUCAAGAACCCUUCGAAGAUGCCUGCCGCCGCCAUCACGUACACCAGCAUCGCGUUCAUGCCGGUCCAUUUCAGGGGUGCGAAUGGGUAGUGCAGAUUCAGGAUGUCAACCUACAAUAUGUAGGUAAGUUUAGAGUGUAGUUAUUCAGCUGGUCAGUGAGCUGGAACUGAACAUUGCACAAGACUGAAGCUCGAUUCACUGAAGUAUCAUGCCAUUUGCUGAAUCUUUGCCAGUGAGCUCGAGGGCAAGGACUUGAUUGUGUGGUUUUAGUAGUUCUAGGAGCUUGAACAGUCGAUCGAUUAAUUGUACAUGUAUGGUAGCAUACGAUUUGAAUCUUUGGUUUUUCUUUCCGAAAUUUUUUGCACACCACUUUAAGGAUUCUUGAGGAUUUUUACCAGGAAGUAGAACAUGCAGAACACGAUUCCAGCCGCACCGGCAGUAACACAGAUAUAACUGAAGGUGUACAGUUGCUUGUUCAAAGGAAUUGCUGCAAGAAAAAUGAGAGAAUACCAUGAUGAAACAAGAGGAGGUAAGAGAAAUCAUAGUUACUAUACUUUAUAUGCUAUACCAUGUGAAAAGUGCAGAGUAAGCCCAAGAAUGAGGAGAGUUAUGCCCAUGAUAGACCACUGCUUUAGUCUGUCCGUGUGGCUCUGUGGUUUCAGGAAAAAUAAACUGUCAUAAUUGUGUUCUAGCCUACACCCUUUACAACAUAAAAGGUCUGAAACAUGAAACAGAAAUAACCUUCAUAUGAACAAGCACAUGCCCAUAAUGCACCCCGAUGAUCGUACUCAACACCGCGGACAGUGAGCUACAAAAUCAACGAAUGAACAAUGUAAACUGGGAACUGAAACAUCACAAAUUCUUAUGAGAUUAGUUAUGGUGGAAGUAUGAAUAAUACCUUAGUAACCCUUCAGGUUCAAAUGGUGCAUAACACCACGCCGGGGAAUCAGUUUUAAAAGGUCCCUCAUGUGGGGAAUCAUCAGUACAGUCCUGCAUGAACCAGUACAGAAGUUGAUAAACAUGUGAAGAUAAACUUUCAGAAUAGCACUAGUUUUUUUUUUUUUUUCAGAAUCAAAACACACACCUUGUGCCUCCUCCAUGCUGGCCUGUGGUACAUAUGAUUGAUACCAAGAACUUUACGGUCAAUAUAACCUACAGCAUUGCAAGGAGGACUUAAUUUUCCCCGUGUACCACAUGUCACCUAAGACAUUAGGAAACAUCAAGUAUGAGCUACAAUUUUCACAAAAGAAUGUAAUGUUGGAGUGCGACAAAUACAUACUACCAUUUCAGCUUUAUGAUUUAUAGUAGCUUACUAGUGUAUCAAGCUUACUUUAGUAGAACAAUUAAACAAAUAUGCCAAAAUUGAGUACUCUCAUACCGUCAAGAUUUUGCCGAAGUUUGGAUUUUUAACAUCUGACACUCUGAAAUCCCAGUCAGGAACAUAAAUCCCAUAUACAAGGGACAGGUAGAUCACAAGGAUGCAACAUGCAACAAUCCUGGUAAGUACACAGAACCCUCAAUUAGUUGUCUAGAACUGAAAUCUUUCACAAAUCAUGGGUUACAUGAUCAUAAAGCUCGCAUACCACUGGGAGAAGUACAUCCUGAAAAUCGAGAAGCCCGAACUUGACUGGUCCUGAACCUUUGCAUUCUUCGUUACGAUCUCUAGAACUGCAACCACCAAGUAUGCAAGAGCAAUCCUUUGGAGAAUACCACACCAUCUCACGUGCUUCAUGUCAACUCCAUAAGACAAAUCAUCAGGGGCAUGGGAGUAACCGCCUGAAUUUCAUAAACAACUACCAAUGUGUUAAGACUUCGUCUAUGUGGAUAGGAUGAGGAAUUCAUGGUUCUGAAAGGCAUAUUACGCAGAAUGACCUUGCAACAGAAUUCCCCAAAAAAGCAGCUUCAGUGUCCUGAGCACUACUCUCCUCACAGCUCGACCGCGGUCUGGAAUCCUCUGCAUGUUUGCUUCAGGUAAAAGGUUGAGGCCAAGAAACAUCAAAACUCAGCUACUAGUAAUUUUAAAAAAGAAAAUCAUAAAAGUUCAGAAGAGAAGCAUCGGAUAUGAUUAUUUUCUUCUAUUUAUGUUCUUCAAUGUUAGUUCAAAUUUGACAAUCGGUAAUGCAACAUAGUUUCAGUUUGUAUAAAUAAUAAAAUAAGUCCCAAACUGAAAUGAGAUGCAGAGUUGCAGACUACUCAAAUGGAAGACAAGAGAGCGGAGGACCUUGAGGGAGAGGGGAAUAGCCAUGCCAACGAUGAAGAGGAAGAAGGGCAUGACGAAGUCGGCGAGGUUGCAUCCGUUCCACGGCGCGUGGCCUAUCACCGGCCACUCGCCGCCGGCGCCGUCCACCAGUAUCAUCAGCUGCACCCCCAGACGAGCACAACCACAUCAAAACAACAAGAUGAUGAGCAGCAACCGACCAAAAAUGUUAGUAGUAUUACUUACAGCGACGGUGAGGCCACGGAAGACGUCGAGCGACGCGACCCGCCUGCUGGUCCGGCGAGGCGGAGGCGCCUUCUCGUCGACGUCGACGCCGUCGUCGUCACCUUCUUUCCCCGAGCGGUCGCCGCGGCGGCGGUCGGGAUCCUCCUCCGCCACCGCGCCGUGCCGCCGCGCGACGCCCUGGCCACCGCCGUCCAUCCCCAGCGAACAAUCUCACACAGAAGCAGCAGCGGCCGCAGGCAAAAAGCUGCUCGUGUCGUGCCGCGCGUGGAUAAGAAGAAGAGGAGAUCGGGGAGAGAUAUUCCGACGGAUUGCUGGAACUGGAAGCGAUCAGCAAUCAAUCAAUCAAUAGCUCUAAUACAAUGACGUUCACGAAAAACAAUCAAUAAUAGCUCGUCGCCCUCGUCGGCUAGCUGGCUGGCUACUUGCUCCUCGCUUCGCUUGUCUCUCUCCUCCUCUCCAACGAAGCCCGCGCCGAGGCUAACAUGAUUGAAUCGCUGGAGGGUGACAGGUGGGGCACACCUGGCGGUGUCACGAGCGUGGCGAACAUAAUGCUCGCCUUUUUUUUUUUUUAUUUUUGGCGGUUGUGUGGAUCACGCCGAGUGUUAUAGUGUCGUCGUUUUCCGGAGAUUCACGUUUUGUAGCCAUUCCGCUGAACUCAGCACAGUCAAAUUGUUGGAGUACUGUACUAACAGUAUUUUUUUUUUUGGGAAUUGCUAAAAAUCUUGCGACCAGUUUUUCUGAAAGAAAUCUGUCAAUUUUUUCAGAUUUGUUCCAAUUUUCGUUGUAGAUGUGAUUGGAGAAAUAGCCCCUAACCUUCCUUACCACCAAGCUAGUAUUGUUUCUAUGUUUCAAACUCAGUUACAUACUACUUACAGAGUGUAAUUAUAGUGUAAGUGGAAUGUAACUAGGAUGUAGCUACACUAACAUAUUUUUGGCUUAAAAUAUGUCAACAGUGCCAUACAUAGUCCCAUACUGUUUUUUUUCCAUGUUAUACUCACAUUGUGACCUACCCCGUCCUUCAAAUACUUCUUUUUUUUCCUUCAUUUGUCUAGAAAGAGUCUGUAAUCUUUUAAGGCAAUCAAUAUAUUAUGUAAUGAAUUUUGAAAAUGUGGGAGACAAGUACAUAAGAAUUUGAAAACGUAAAGAACAUUUUAGUUUUUUUUUCUCUGGUAUUCACCUAAUUACUCUCACGAAUUACAUACAAUGUAAUUAUAGGAGUAUAAUAUUAAAUAUUUUAAGAAAUAAAACUUAACACAUAGGAGUAUUAGCUUAAACACAAGCGGUUCAAGCUAAAAAUAAAACUGUCAAGAAAAUGUAUCCGAUGAUAAAUCCGAAGAAAGGGGGCCAUCGCACAUAGAAUUUGAUUUUGAGACCACGUUGAGGAAUAGCCCAAUCAAAACGAUACAACUUGAGUUAUUCCAAAGUCUAAACAUAAACAAUUCCUAAAUGAAAAAUACUACUAGUAUUCAAACAACCAUGCGAGAUAGCAUGCUUUAAUAAUAAACAAAGACAUAAAAAAACAAAUCGCCCCCCUCACGGUAAGCAACUCAAACGAAGCUAAACUAAACUAAACCAAAGCAGUUGAAUGCCUCGGCGUGCGUGCCGAACCAUCCAUCAAAUCAAAUCGAAAGCUACAACCAUCAGCGAGAUGAUCUUGGCGACGGAUGGCUACUGCGACUGCGACUGCGAGACGAUCUUGGCGACGGAUUGCGCCGAGAUGGGCGGCAAGCUGAGCGCGCAGAGGCUCUCCCACGACGCGGCCGCGGCCGCGGCGGCGCCCUCCUCCUCCUCCCUCGCCGCGGCGGCCUCCUUGGAGAAGGCGGCGUGCAUCGAGUUCACCAUCCCGCGCGCCGCCUCCCUCGCCUCCGGCAGCCGGUCGCUCAGCAGCUCCGCCGCCACCUGCAGCAUCGCCGACAUCCCGAACUCCUUCAUCGUCGCGACGUCCAUCCUCGACGCGCACUGCGACAUGGCGACGGCGGCCUUGGCCCUCACCCUGAGGUUGGCGUGGUGGACGUACGCCUUGAGCUUCCUGAGGAGCGGAAGGGGAGGCAUCGACGCCGCCAUCGCCCGCAUCGCCUUCUCCGCCUCCUCCGCCACGAACCGCUUGUCCUGCGACGCCUUCAGCAGCAGCUGAAGCAGCUGCGGUGAUUUUUGCAACCGCAAAUUGUUGUCAGCUCAGUGAACUGAAGAUUGUAGAUUGUUCAGCCAUUGUAAGAACGUACCAGCUUGUCGAAGGCGUCGUCGGAGGCGGAGGAGAGGAGGUUGCCGAAGGAGUCGAACACGUCGGUGCACGCCAUGAUGGAGGUCUUGCACACCGCGCUGCGCGGGCUCUUCAUCGUCUUCACGAUCGCCAGCAUCACCUUGCCACUGCUCGAUUAGCCACAAAACCAAAUCAAAUCAAAUUGAAAAUCCCACCAACACUUCUCCUGCUCAAAAUCAAGAGCAGUGAAUUGUGGAUGAACUGGAGCGCGUACAGGAUGGGGUUGAGGAGGGAGGGGUGGUGGAUCGCGAGGCGGCGCGCGUCGUUGAGCGCGUCGCACGCCCGGAUCCAGUCCUUGGAGUCAAGCUCCGCCACCAACCCCGCCGCCUUGGCCUUGGGGUGGGGCACCGGCUGGAGAUCCUCGGAGCGGACGUACUCCACCGCCUGCUCCGUUGUGGCCUUGGGCGCCGAGUUCUCGUCGUUCUUCUUCCUCUUCCCCUCGGGUGAGGCCGCCGGGACGACGGCGGCGGCGGCGGCGGACAGCUUGGGCAACUUCUUGGGCCGCUCCGCCGACGCCAUCGGCAGCGUGUUGUCGAGCGCGCGGAGUGCCAUGGAUGAUGGAUUUGCUUGCUGCUUCCUGAUCGAUCUGAGAAGGGUGAAGAAAUUGGAGAUAGAAAAUUUGGGGUAGUAGUUGAUGCGUUUGGUGAGUUGGGCGGUUUGGAAUUUUAAACGAGGAGAUUGGGAGUGUAACGGCUAUAAAAUGUUCGAAAUCGCAAGUGAACGUUGGGAGAGGAGGCCGUGAUGCUGCGUGGCUUUGUACCGUUGCCAUAAAGUAUCCAGAGAUUUUUAUUUUUUCACUCUUCUUUUAAUUACAAUGGCAUAAAGAGAAGAAGCCGUAUAUUAGGUAAAAAUUUCAAUGUAGACAAAUAAAUUUGCCAGAGGAAGCACGAAAUGCACGUUUGAUCUGUCGUGAACAUCAGAUUUUUCUCAGGGAUUGGAACAUUUUUCACGUGAAAUUCUUUCUUAUGAAAUCCCAGAGAUCAUCUUAGACUUGCGGCCCUAUCGUUUCGCUUAUUCGUAGAAUAAGCAAACAACAUAUUUGCAAACAGAAAAUAAUUUAUGAAUAAAACUUUUAUAUACGUGUUCUUAACAAUCUAAAAGCAAAGGGUGAAAAAUAAACUUUGAUAAAAAAACCCCCCAAAAUCAACUCCAAAUUUAAAGUUAAAAUUUUAAAUUUUAGCUGAUAAGAAUAAGCGAAAAGAUGAGGCUCUUGAUUUAGAAUGUAACCAUGUUUACAUGAUAAUAUAAACCAUGCGUAUUAUAUGAUUCUUGAGAAGCGAAAUGCAUAUGCCAUUCAAGUUGCCCCUAGGAGAAAGAAGGUGUGUCCACUUCGUUUGUUCCAAAACUGUAUGCAGCAAAGAAACAAGAAGCUGUCCUAAUUCGUGUCGGCGUGUCAUCUUCAGUAAACUUAUGUACAAAGGAGGGCGCGGCCACAUUCAUGAGUAAGGCCGCUCACUAUAGUACAGUAUUGUUGGCCUGAGAUCCCCAAAACAUGUUCAUUGCGCCCUGCCGUUGCAAUUCCCGGUAGCCUUCCUCCUCC